CAAAACUCGCCAACACUUAGGCAAAAAGACGAAAAAGAGGUCAAAACUCGCAUCGGCCGUCCGAAUGACAUGCAAACACACACAUAGAACCGCGUAGGUAAUACACACGCAUUAGAACUUACGGGACUCGAUUCCGACAUACGGAGACCGAGUUAUCGCUUAAUUUGCAAAACACGCCAAUACUUAGGCAAAUAGCGGAAAAAGAGGUCAAAAACCCGCAUCAGCCGUUCGAAUGACACGCAAACACACACAUAACACCGCGUAGGUAAUAGUCAUGCAUUAGAACUUACGGGACUCGAUUCCGACAUGCGGAAACUGAGUUAUCGCCCAGUUUGCAAAACUCGCCAACACUUAGGCAAAAAGACGAAAAACAUGUCAAAACCCGCAUCGGCCGUUUGAAUGACACGCAAACACACACAUAGCACCGCGUAGGUAAUAGACACGCGUUAGAACUUACGGGACUCGAAUCCGACAUACGGAGACUGAGUUAUGGCCCAGUUUGCAAAACUCGUCAACACUUAGGCAAAAAGUCGAAAAAGGGGUCAAAAUCCACAUCGGUCGUUCGAAUGACACGCAAACCCACACAUAACACCGCGUAGGUAAUAGUCAUGCAUUAGAACUUACGGGACUCGAUUCCGACAUACGGAAACUGAGUUAUCGCCCAGUUUGCAAAACUCGUCAACACUUAGGCAAAAAGACGAAAAACAGGUCAAAACCCGCAUCGUCCGUUUGAAUGACACGCAAACACACACAUAGCACCGCGUAGGUAAUAGACACGCGUUAGAACUUACGGGACUCGAAUCCGACAUACGGAGACUGAGUUAUCGCCCAGUUUGCAAAACUCGUCAACACUUAGGCAAAAAAGUCGAAAAAGGGGUCAAAACUCGCAUCGGUCGUCCGAAUGACACGCAAACACACUAAUAGCACCGCGUAGGUAAGAGACACGCGUUAUAACUUAUGGGACUAGAUUCUGACAUACGGAGACCGAGUUAUCGCGGAGUUUGCAAAACUCGCCAACACUUGGGCAAAAAGCCGAAAAAGAGGUCAAAACCAACAUCUGCCGUCCAAAUGACACGAAUACACACAUAUAGCACCGUGCAGGUAAUAGACACGCGUUAGAACUUACGGGACUCGAUUCUGACAUACAGAGACCGAGUUAUCGCCUAGUUUGCAAAACUCGCAAACACUUAGGCAAAAAGACGAAAAACAGGUCAAAACCCGCAUCGGUCGUCUGAAUGACACGUAAACACACACAUAAAACCGCGUAGGUAAUAGUCAUGUAUUAGAACUUACGGGACUCGAUUCCGACAUACGAAGACUGAUUUAUCGCCCAGUUUGCAAAACUUGCCAACACUUAGGCAAAAAGACGAAAAAUAGGUCAAAACCCGCAUCGGCCGUCCGAAUGACACGCAAACACACACAUAGCACCGCGUAGGUAAUAGACACGCAUUAGAACUUACGGGACUCGAUUCCGACAUACGGAGACUGAGUUAUCGCCCAGUUUGCAAAACUCGCCAACACUUAGGCAAAAAGUCGAAAAAGGGGUCAAAACUCGCAUCGGUAGUCCGAAUGACACGCAAACACACUAAUAGCACCGCGUAGGUAAUAGACACGCGUUAGAACUUACGGGACUCGAUUCCGACAUACGGAGACCGAGUUAUCGCGGAGUUUGCAAAACUCGCCAACACUUGGGCAAAAAGCCGAAAAAGAGGUCAAAACCCGCAUCUGCCGUCCGAAUGACACGAAUACACACAUAUAGCACCGUGCAGGUAAUAGACAUGCGUUAGAACUUACGGGACACGAUUCUGACAUACGGAGACCGAGUUAUUGCCCAGUUUGCAAAACUCGCCAACACUUAGGCAAAAAGCCGAAAAAGACGGCCGUCCGAAUGACAUGCAAACACACACAUAGAACCGCGUAGGUACUAGACACGCUUUAGAACUUACGGGACUCGAUUCCGACAUACGAAGACCGAGUUAUCGCGGAGUUUGCAAAACUCGCCAACACUUGGGCAAAAAACCGAAAAAGAGGUCAAAACCCGCAUCUGCCAUCCGAAUGACACGAAUACACACAUAUAGCACCGUGCAGGUAAUAGACAUGCGUUAGAACUUACGGGACUCGUUUCUGACAUACGGAGACCGAGUUAUUGCCCAGUCUGCAAAACUCGUCAACACUUAGGUAAAAAGCCGAAAAAGAGGUUAAAACUCGCAUCGGCCGUCCGAAUGACAUGCAAACACACACAUAGAACCGCGUAGGUAAUAGACACGCAUUAGAACUUACGGGACUCGAUUCCGACAUACGAAGACCGGGUUAUCGCUUAAUUUGCAGAACACGCCAAUACUUAGGCAACUAGCGGAAAAAGAGGUCAAAAACCCGCAUCGGCCGUUCGAAUGACACGCAAACACAGACAUAACACCGCGUAGGUAAUAGUCAUGCAUUAGAACUUACGGGACUCGAUUCCGACAUACGGAAACUGAGUUAUCGCACAGUUUGCAAAACUCGCCAACACUUAGGCAAAAAGACGAAAAACAGGUCAAAACCCGCAUCGGCCGUUUGAAUGACACGCAAACACACACAUAGCACCGCGUAGGUUAUAGACACGCGUUAGAACUUACGGGACUCGAAUCCGACAUACGGAGACAGAGUUAUCGCCCAGUUUGCAAAACUCGUCAACACUUAGGCAAAAAGUCGAAAAAGGGGUCAAAACCCGCAUCGGCCGUUCGAAUGACACGCAAACACACAUAUAACACCGUGUAGGUAAUAGUCAUGCAUUAGAACUUACGGGACUCGAUUCCGACAUACGGAAACUGAGUUAUCGCCCAGUUUGUAAAACUCGCCAACACUUAGGCAAAAAGACGAAAAACAGGUUAAAACCCGCAUCGGCCGUUUGAAUGACACGCAAACACACACAUAGCACCGCGUAGGUAAUACACACGCGUUAGAACUUACGGGACUCGAAUCCGACAUACGGAGACUGAGUUAUCGCCCAGUUUGCAAAACUCGUCAACACUUAGGCAAAAAGCCGAAAAAGAGGUUAAAACUCGCAUCGGCCGUCCCAAUGACAUGCAAACACACACAUAGAACCGCGUAGGUAAUAGACACGCAUUAGAACUUACGGGACUCGAUUCCGACAUACGGAGACCGAGUUAUCGCCUAAUUUGCAAAACACGCCAAUACUUAGGCAAAAAGCGGAAAAAGAGGUCAAAAAACCGCGUAGGUAAUAGACACGCAUUAGAACUUACGGGACUCGAUUCCGAUAUACAGAGACCGAGUUAUCGCCUAGUUUGUAAAACUCGCCAACACUUAGGCAAAAAGCCGAAAAAGAGGUCAAAACCCGCAUCUGCCGUCCGAAUGACACGAAUACACAGAUAUAGCCCCGUGCAGGUAAUACACAUGCGUUAGAACUUACGGGACUCGAUUCUGACAUACGGAGACCGAGUUAUUGCCCAGUCUGCAAAACUCGCCAACACUUGGGCAAAAAGUCGAAAAAGGGGUCAAAACUCGCAUCGGUUGUCCGAAUGACACGCAAAUACAUUAAUAGCACCGCGUAGGUAAUAGACACGCGUUAGAACUUACUGGACUCGAUUCCGACAAACGAAGACUGAGUUAUCGCUCAGUUUGCAAAACUCGCCAACACUUAGGCAAGAAGCCGAAAAAGAGGUCAAAACUCGCAUCGGCCGUCCGAAUGACGGCCGUCCGAAUGACAUGCACACACACACAUAGAACCGCGUAGGUAAUAGACACGCGUUAGAACUUACGGGACUCGAUUCUGACAUACGGAGACCGAGUUAUCGCGGAGUUUGCAAAACUCGCCAACACUUAGGCGAAAAGUCGAAAAAGGGGUCAAAACUCGUAUCGGUAGUCCGAAUGACACGCAAACACACUAAUAGCACCGCGUAGGUAAUAGACACGCGUUAGAACUUACGGGACUCGAUUCUGACAUACGGAGACCGAGUUAUCGCGGAGUUUGCAAAACUCGCCAACACUUAGGCGAAAAGUCGAAAAAGGGGUCAAAACUCGUAUCGGUAGUCCGAAUGACACGCAAACACACUAAUAGCACCGCGUAGGUAAUAGACACGCGUUAGAACUUACGGGACUCGAUUCUGACAUACGGAGACCGAGUUAUCGCGGAGUUUGCAAAACUCGCCAACACUUAGGCGAAAAGUCGAAAAAGGGGUCAAAACUCGUAUCGGUAGUCCGAAUGACACGCAAACACACUAAUAGCACCGCGUAGGUAAUAGACACGCGUUAGAACUUACGGGACUCGAUUCUGACAUACGGAGACCGAGUUAUCGCGGAGUUUGCAAAACUCGCCAACACUUAGGCGAAAAGUCGAAAAAGGGGUCAAAACUCGUAUCGGUAGUCCGAAUGACACGCAAACACACUAAUAGCACCGCGUAGGUAAUAGACACGCGUUAGAACUUACGGGACUCGAUUCUGACAUACGGAGACCGAGUUAUCGCGGAGUUUGCAAAACUCGCCAACACUUAGGCGAAAAGUCGAAAAAGGGGUCAAAACUCGUAUCGGUAGUCCGAAUGACACGCAAACACACUAAUAGCACCGCGUAGGUAAUAGACACGCGUUAGAACUUACGGGACUCGAUUCUGACAUACGGAGACCGAGUUAUCGCGGAGUUUGCAAAACUCACCAACACUUGGGCAAAAAGCCGAAAAAGAGGUCAAAACCCGCAUCUGCCUUCUGAAUGACAUGCAAACACACAUAGAACCGCGUAGGUAAUAGACACGCAUUAGAACUUACGGGACUCGAUUCCGACAUACGAAGACCGAGUUAUCGCGGAGUUUGCAAAACUCGCCAACACUUGGGCAAAAAGCCCAAAAAGAGGUCAAAACCCGCAUCUGCCGUUUGAAUGACACGAAUACACAGAUAUAGCACCGUGCAGGUAAUAGACACGCGUUAGAACUUACGGGACUCGAUUCUGACAUACGGAGACCGAGUUAUUGCGCAGUUUGCAAAACUCGCCAACACUUAGGCAAAAAGUCGAAAAAGGGGUCAAAACUUGCAUCGGUAGUCCGAAUGACACGCAAACACACUAAUAGCAUCGCGUAGGUAAUAGACACGCGUUAGAACUUACGAGACUCGAUUCCGACAUACGGAGACCGAGUUAUCGCGGAGUUUGCAAAACUCGCCAACACUUGGGCAAAGAGCCGAAAAAGAGGUCAAAACCCGCAUCUGCCGUCCGAAUGACACGAAUACACACAUAUAGCACCGUGCAGGUAAUAGACACGCGUUAGAACUUACGAGACUCGAUUCCGACAUACGGAGACCGAGUUAUCGCGGAGUUUGCAAAACUCGCCAACACUUGGGCAAAGAGCCGAAAAAGAGGUCAAAACCCGCAUCUGCCGUCCGAAUGACACGAAUACACACAUAUAGCACCGUGCAGGUAAUAGACACGCGUUAGAACUUACGAGACUCGAUUCCGACAUACGGAGACCGAGUUAUCGCGGAGUUUGCAAAACUCGCCAACACUUGGGCAAAGAGCCGAAAAAGAGGUCAAAACCCGCAUCUGCCGUCCGAAUGACACGAAUACACACAUAUAGCACCGUGCAGGUAAUAGACACGCGUUAGAACUUACGAGACUCGAUUCCGACAUACGGAGACCGAGUUAUCGCGGAGUUUGCAAAACUCGCCAACACUUGGGCAAAGAGCCGAAAAAGAGGUCAAAACCCGCAUCUGCCGUCCGAAUGACACGAAUACACACAUAUAGCACCGUGCAGGUAAUAGACACGCGUUAGAACUUACGAGACUCGAUUCCGACAUACGGAGACCGAGUUAUCGCGGAGUUUGCAAAACUCGCCAACACUUGGGCAAAGAGCCGAAAAAGAGGUCAAAACCCGCAUCUGCCGUCCGAAUGACACGAAUACACACAUAUAGCACCGUGCAGGUAAUAGACACGCGUUAGAACUUACGAGACUCGAUUCCGACAUACGGAGACCGAGUUAUCGCGGAGUUUGCAAAACUCGCCAACACUUGGGCAAAGAGCCGAAAAAGAGGUCAAAACCCGCAUCUGCCGUCCGAAUGACACGAAUACACACAUAUAGCACCGUGCAGGUAAUAGACACGCGUUAGAACUUACGAGACUCGAUUCCGACAUACGGAGACCGAGUUAUCGCGGAGUUUGCAAAACUCGCCAACACUUGGGCAAAGAGCCGAAAAAGAGGUCAAAACCCGCAUCUGCCGUCCGAAUGACACGAAUACACACAUAUAGCACCGUGCAGGUAAUAGACACGCGUUAGAACUUACGAGACUCGAUUCCGACAUACGGAGACCGAGUUAUCGCGGAGUUUGCAAAACUCGCCAACACUUGGGCAAAGAGCCGAAAAAGAGGUCAAAACCCGCAUCUGCCGUCCGAAUGACACGAAUACACACAUAUAGCACCGUGCAGGUAAUAGACACGCGUUAGAACUUACGAGACUCGAUUCCGACAUACGGAGACCGAGUUAUCGCGGAGUUUGCAAAACUCGCCAACACUUGGGCAAAGAGCCGAAAAAGAGGUCAAAACCCGCAUCUGCCGUCCGAAUGACACGAAUACACACAUAUAGCACCGUGCAGGUAAUAGACACGCGUUAGAACUUACGAGACUCGAUUCCGACAUACGGAGACCGAGUUAUCGCGGAGUUUGCAAAACUCGCCAACACUUGGGCAAAGAGCCGAAAAAGAGGUCAAAACCCGCAUCUGCCGUCCGAAUGACACGAAUACACACAUAUAGCACCGUGCAGGUAAUAGACACGCGUUAGAACUUACGAGACUCGAUUCCGACAUACGGAGACCGAGUUAUCGCGGAGUUUGCAAAACUCGCCAACACUUGGGCAAAGAGCCGAAAAAGAGGUCAAAACCCGCAUCUGCCGUCCGAAUGACACGAAUACACACAUAUAGCACCGUGCAGGUAAUAGACACGCGUUAGAACUUACGAGACUCGAUUCCGACAUACGGAGACCGAGUUAUCGCGGAGUUUGCAAAACUCGCCAACACUUGGGCAAAGAGCCGAAAAAGAGGUCAAAACCCGCAUCUGCCGUCCGAAUGACACGAAUACACACAUAUAGCACCGUGCAGGUAAUAGACACGCGUUAGAACUUACGAGACUCGAUUCCGACAUACGGAGACCGAGUUAUCGCGGAGUUUGCAAAACUCGCCAACACUUGGGCAAAGAGCCGAAAAAGAGGUCAAAACCCGCAUCUGCCGUCCGAAUGACACGAAUACACACAUAUAGCACCGUGCAGGUAAUAGACACGCGUUAGAACUUACGAGACUCGAUUCCGACAUACGGAGACCGAGUUAUCGCGGAGUUUGCAAAACUCGCCAACACUUGGGCAAAGAGCCGAAAAAGAGGUCAAAACCCGCAUCUGCCGUCCGAAUGACACGAAUACACACAUAUAGCACCGUGCAGGUAAUAGACACGCGUUAGAACUUACGAGACUCGAUUCCGACAUACGGAGACCGAGUUAUCGCGGAGUUUGCAAAACUCGCCAACACUUGGGCAAAGAGCCGAAAAAGAGGUCAAAACCCGCAUCUGCCGUCCGAAUGACACGAAUACACACAUAUAGCACCGUGCAGGUAAUAGACACGCGUUAGAACUUACGAGACUCGAUUCCGACAUACGGAGACCGAGUUAUCGCGGAGUUUGCAAAACUCGCCAACACUUGGGCAAAGAGCCGAAAAAGAGGUCAAAACCCGCAUCUGCCGUCCGAAUGACACGAAUACACACAUAUAGCACCGUGCAGGUAAUAGACACGCGUUAGAACUUACGAGACUCGAUUCCGACAUACGGAGACCGAGUUAUCGCGGAGUUUGCAAAACUCGCCAACACUUGGGCAAAAAGUCGAAAAAGGGGUCAAAACUUGCAUCGGCCGUCCGAAUGACAUGCAAACACACACAUAGAACCGCGUAGGUAAUAGACACGCAUUAGAACUUACGGGACUCGAUUCCGACAUACAGAGACCGAGUUAUCGCCAAGUUUGCAAAACUCGCCAACACUUAGGCAAAAAGACGAAAAAUAGGUCAAAACCCGCAUCGGUCGUCUGAAUGACACUUAAACACACACAUAACACCGCGUAGGUAAAAGUCAUGUAUUAGAACUUACGGGACUCGAUUCCGACAUACGGAGACUGAUUUAUCGCCCAGUUUGCAAAACUUGCCAACACUUAGGCAAAAAGCCGAAAAAGAGGCCAAAACCCGCAUCGUCCGUCCGGACGCCACGCAAACACACACAUAGCACCGCGUAGGUAUUAGACACGUGUUAGAACUUACGGGACUCGAUUCCGACAUACGGAAUCCGAGUUAUCGUCCAGUUUGCAAAACUCGCCAACACUUAGGCAAAAAGCCGAAAAACAGCCCAAAACCCGCAUCGGACGUCCGAAUGCCACGCAAACACACACAUAGCACCGCGUAGGUAUUAGACACGUGUUAGAACUUACGGGACUCGAUUCCGACAUACGGAAUCCGAGUUAUCGUCCAGUUUGCAAAACUCGCCAACACUUAGGCAAAAAGCCGAAAAACAGCCCAAAACCCGCAUCGGACGUCCGAAUGCCACGCAAACACACACAUAGCACCGCGUAGGUAUUAGACACGUGUUAGAACUUACGGGACUCGAUUCCGACAUACGGAAUCCGAGUUAUCGUCCAGUUUGCAAAACUCGCCAACACUUAGGCAAAAAGCCGAAAAACAGCCCAAAACCCGCAUCGGACGUCCGAAUGCCACGCAAACACACACAUAGCACCGCGUAGGUAUUAGACACGUGUUAGAACUUACGGGACUCGAUUCCGACAUACGGAAUCCGAGUUAUCGUCCAGUUUGCAAAACUCGCCAACACUUAGGCAAAAAGCCGAAAAACAGCCCAAAACCCGCAUCGGACGUCCGAAUGCCACGCAAACACACACAUAGCACCGCGUAGGUAUUAGACACGUGUUAGAACUUACGGGACUCGAUUCCGACAUACGGAAUCCGAGUUAUCGUCCAGUUUGCAAAACUCGCCAACACUUAGGCAAAAAGCCGAAAAACAGCCCAAAACCCGCAUCGGACGUCCGAAUGCCACGCAAACACACACAUAGCACCGCGUAGGUAUUAGACACGUGUUAGAACUUACGGGACUCGAUUCCGACAUACGGAAUCCGAGUUAUCGUCCAGUUUGCAAAACUCGCCAACACUUAGGCAAAAAGCCGAAAAACAGCCCAAAACCCGCAUCGGACGUCCGAAUGCCACGCAAACACACACAUAGCACCGCGUAGGUAUUAGACACGUGUUAGAACUUACGGGACUCGAUUCCGACAUACGGAAUCCGAGUUAUCGUCCAGUUUGCAAAACUCGCCAACACUUAGGCAAAAAGCCGAAAAACAGCCCAAAACCCGCAUCGGACGUCCGAAUGCCACGCAAACACACACAUAGCACCGCGUAGGUAUUAGACACGUGUUAGAACUUACGGGACUCGAUUCCGACAUACGGAAUCCGAGUUAUCGUCCAGUUUGCAAAACUCGCCAACACUUAGGCAAAAAGCCGAAAAACAGCCCAAAACCCGCAUCGGACGUCCGAAUGCCACGCAAACACACACAUAGCACCGCGUAGGUAUUAGACACGUGUUAGAACUUACGGGACUCGAUUCCGACAUACGGAAUCCGAGUUAUCGUCCAGUUUGCAAAACUCGCCAACACUUAGGCAAAAAGCCGAAAAACAGCCCAAAACCCGCAUCGGACGUCCGAAUGCCACGCAAACACACACAUAGCACCGCGUAGGUAUUAGACACGUGUUAGAACUUACGGGACUCGAUUCCGACAUACGGAAUCCGAGUUAUCGUCCAGUUUGCAAAACUCGCCAACACUUAGGCAAAAAGCCGAAAAACAGCCCAAAACCCGCAUCGGACGUCCGAAUGCCACGCAAACACACACAUAGCACCGCGUAGGUAUUAGACACGUGUUAGAACUUACGGGACUCGAUUCCGACAUACGGAAUCCGAGUUAUCGUCCAGUUUGCAAAACUCGCCAACACUUAGGCAAAAAGCCGAAAAACAGCCCAAAACCCGCAUCGGACGUCCGAAUGCCACGCAAACACACACAUAGCACCGCGUAGGUAUUAGACACGUGUUAGAACUUACGGGACUCGAUUCCGACAUACGGAAUCCGAGUUAUCGUCCAGUUUGCAAAACUCGCCAACACUUAGGCAAAAAGCCGAAAAACAGCCCAAAACCCGCAUCGGACGUCCGAAUGCCACGCAAACACACACAUAGCACCGCGUAGGUAUUAGACACGUGUUAGAACUUACGGGACUCGAUUCCGACAUACGGAAUCCGAGUUAUCGUCCAGUUUGCAAAACUCGCCAACACUUAGGCAAAAAGCCGAAAAACAGCCCAAAACCCGCAUCGGACGUCCGAAUGCCACGCAAACACACACAUAGCACCGCGUAGGUAUUAGACACGUGUUAGAACUUACGGGACUCGAUUCCGACAUACGGAAUCCGAGUUAUCGUCCAGUUUGCAAAACUCGCCAACACUUAGGCAAAAAGCCGAAAAACAGCCCAAAACCCGCAUCGGACGUCCGAAUGCCACGCAAACACACACAUAGCACCGCGUAGGUAUUAGACACGUGUUAGAACUUACGGGACUCGAUUCCGACAUACGGAAUCCGAGUUAUCGUCCAGUUUGCAAAACUCGCCAACACUUAGGCAAAAAGCCGAAAAACAGCCCAAAACCCGCAUCGGACGUCCGAAUGCCACGCAAACACACACAUAGCACCGCGUAGGUAUUAGACACGUGUUAGAACUUACGGGACUCGAUUCCGACAUACGGAAUCCGAGUUAUCGUCCAGUUUGCAAAACUCGCCAACACUUAGGCAAAAAGCCGAAAAACAGCCCAAAACCCGCAUCGGACGUCCGAAUGCCACGCAAACACACACAUAGCACCGCGUAGGUAUUAGACACGUGUUAGAACUUACGGGACUCGAUUCCGACAUACGGAAUCCGAGUUAUCGUCCAGUUUGCAAAACUCGCCAACACUUAGGCAAAAAGCCGAAAAACAGCCCAAAACCCGCAUCGGACGUCCGAAUGCCACGCAAACACACACAUAGCACCGCGUAGGUAUUAGACACGUGUUAGAACUUACGGGACUCGAUUCCGACAUACGGAAUCCGAGUUAUCGUCCAGUUUGCAAAACUCGCCAACACUUAGGCAAAAAGCCGAAAAACAGCCCAAAACCCGCAUCGGACGUCCGAAUGCCACGCAAACACACACAUAGCACCGCGUAGGUAUUAGACACGUGUUAGAACUUACGGGACUCGAUUCCGACAUACGGAAUCCGAGUUAUCGUCCAGUUUGCAAAACUCGCCAACACUUAGGCAAAAAGCCGAAAAACAGCCCAAAACCCGCAUCGGACGUCCGAAUGCCACGCAAACACACACAUAGCACCGCGUAGGUAUUAGACACGUGUUAGAACUUACGGGACUCGAUUCCGACAUACGGAAUCCGAGUUAUCGUCCAGUUUGCAAAACUCGCCAACACUUAGGCAAAAAGCCGAAAAACAGCCCAAAACCCGCAUCGGACGUCCGAAUGCCACGCAAACACACACAUAGCACCGCGUAGGUAUUAGACACGUGUUAGAACUUACGGGACUCGAUUCCGACAUACGGAAUCCGAGUUAUCGUCCAGUUUGCAAAACUCGCCAACACUUAGGCAAAAAGCCGAAAAACAGCCCAAAACCCGCAUCGGACGUCCGAAUGCCACGCAAACACACACAUAGCACCGCGUAGGUAUUAGACACGUGUUAGAACUUACGGGACUCGAUUCCGACAUACGGAAUCCGAGUUAUCGUCCAGUUUGCAAAACUCGCCAACACUUAGGCAAAAAGCCGAAAAACAGCCCAAAACCCGCAUCGGACGUCCGAAUGCCACGCAAACACACACAUAGCACCGCGUAGGUAUUAGACACGUGUUAGAACUUACGGGACUCGAUUCCGACAUACGGAAUCCGAGUUAUCGUCCAGUUUGCAAAACUCGCCAACACUUAGGCAAAAAGCCGAAAAACAGCCCAAAACCCGCAUCGGACGUCCGAAUGCCACGCAAACACACACAUAGCACCGCGUAGGUAUUAGACACGUGUUAGAACUUACGGGACUCGAUUCCGACAUACGGAAUCCGAGUUAUCGUCCAGUUUGCAAAACUCGCCAACACUUAGGCAAAAAGCCGAAAAACAGCCCAAAACCCGCAUCGGACGUCCGAAUGCCACGCAAACACACACAUAGCACCGCGUAGGUAUUAGACACGUGUUAGAACUUACGGGACUCGAUUCCGACAUACGGAAUCCGAGUUAUCGUCCAGUUUGCAAAACUCGCCAACACUUAGGCAAAAAGCCGAAAAACAGCCCAAAACCCGCAUCGGACGUCCGAAUGCCACGCAAACACACACAUAGCACCGCGUAGGUAUUAGACACGUGUUAGAACUUACGGGACUCGAUUCCGACAUACGGAAUCCGAGUUAUCGUCCAGUUUGCAAAACUCGCCAACACUUAGGCAAAAAGCCGAAAAACAGCCCAAAACCCGCAUCGGACGUCCGAAUGCCACGCAAACACACACAUAGCACCGCGUAGGUAUUAGACACGUGUUAGAACUUACGGGACUCGAUUCCGACAUACGGAAUCCGAGUUAUCGUCCAGUUUGCAAAACUCGCCAACACUUAGGCAAAAAGCCGAAAAAGAGGUCAAAACCCGCAUCGGCCGUUCGAAUGACACGCAAACACACACAUAGCACCGCGUAGGCAAUAUACACCCGUUAGAACUGACGGGACUCGAUUCUGAUAUAUGGAGGCCGAGUUAUCGCCUAGUUUGCAAAACUCGUCAACACCUAGACAAAAAGCCGAAUAAGAGGUCAAAACUCGCAUCGGCAGUUCGAAUGACACGCAAACACACACAUAACACCGCCUAGGUAAUAGACACGGGUUAGAACUGACGGCCCUCGAUUCUGACAUACGGAGACCGAGUUAUAGCCCAGUUUGCAAAACUCGCCAAAACUUAGGCAAAAAGCCGAAAAAGAGGUCAAAACCCGCAUCGGUAGUCCGAAUGACUCGCAAACACACUAAUAGCACCGCGUAGGUAAUUGACAAGCGUUAGAACUUACGGGACUCGAUUCCGACAUACGGAGACCGAGUUAUCGCGGAGUUUGCAAAACUCGCCAACACUUGGGCAGAAAGCCGAAAAAGAGGUCAAAACCCGCAUCUGCCGUCCGAAUGACACGAAUACACACAUAUAGCACCGUGCAGGUAAUAGACAUGCGUUAGAACUUACGGGACUCGAUUCUGACAUACGGAGACCGAGUUAUUGCCUAGUCUGCAAAACUCGCCAACACUUAGGCAAAAAGCCGAAAAAGAGGUCAAAACUCGCAUCGGCCGUCCGAAUAACAUGCAAACACACACAUAGAACCGCGUAGGUAAUAGACACGCAUUAGAACUUACGGGACUCGAUUCCGACAUACGGAGACCGAGUUAUCGCGGAGUUUGCAAAACUCGCCAACACUUGGACAAAAAGCCGAAAAAGAGGUCAAAACCCGCAUCUGCCGUCCGAAUGACACGAAUACACAGAUAUAGCACCGUGCAGGUAAUAUACAUGCGUUAGAACUUAUGGGUCUCGAUUCUGACAUACGGAGACCGAGUUAUUGCCUAGUCUGCAAAACUCGCCAACACUUAGGCAAAAAGCCGAAAAAGAGGUCAAAACUCGCAUCGGCNNNNNNNNNNNNNNNNNNNNNNNNNNNNNNNNNNNNNNNNNNNNNNNNNNNNNNNNNNNNNNNNNNNNNNNNNNNNNNNNNNNNNNNNNNNNNNNNNNNNNNNNNNNNNNNNNNNNNNNNNNNNNNNNNNNNNNNNNNNNNNNNNNNNNNNNNNNNNNNNNNNNNNNNNNNNNNNNNNNNNNNNNNNNNNNNNNNNNNNNNNNNNNNNNNNNNNNNNNNNNNNNNNNNNNNNNNNNNNNNNNNNNNNNNNNNNNNNNNNNNNNNNNNNNNNNNNNNNNNNNNNNNNNNNNNNNNNNNNNNNNNNNNNNNNNNNNNNNNNNNNNNNNNNNNNNNNNNNNNNNNNNNNNNNNNNNNNNNNNNNNNNNNNNNNNNNNNNNNNNNNNNNNNNNNNNNNNNNNNNNNNNNNNNNNNNNNNNNNNNNNNNNNNNNNNNNNNNNNNNNNNNNNNNNNNNNNNNNNNNNNNNNNNNNNNNNNNNNNNNNNNNNNNNNNNNNNNNNNNNNNNNNNNNNNNNNNNNNNNNNNNNNNNNNNNNNNNNNNNNNNNNNNNNNNNNNNNNNNNNNNNNNNNNNNNNNNNNNNNNNNNNNNNNNNNNNNNNNNNNNNNNNNNNNNNNNNNNNNNNNNNNNNNNNNNNNNNNNNNNNNNNNNNNNNNNNNNNNNNNNNNNNNNNNNNNNNNNNNNNNNNNNNNNNNNNNNNNNNNNNNNNNNNNNNNNNNNNNNNNNNNNNNNNNNNNNNNNNNNNNNNNNNCGUAGGUAAUAGUCAUGUAUUAGAACUUAUGGGACUCGAUUCCGACAUACGGAGACUGAUUUAUCGCCCAGUUUGCAAAACUUGCCAACACUUGGGCAAAAAGCCAAAAAAGAGGUCAAAACUCGCAUCGGCCGUCCGAAUGACAUGCAAACACACACACAGAACCGCGUAGGUAAUAGACACGCAUUAGAACUUACGGGACUCGAUUCUGACAUACGGAGACCGAGUUAUCGCUUAAUUUGCAAAAACACGCCAAUACUUAGGCAAAAAGCGGAAAAAGAGGUCAAAAACCCGCAUCAGCCGUUCGAAUCACACGCAAACACACGCAUAACACCGCGUAGGUAAUAGUCAUGCAUUAGAACUUACGAGACUCGAUUCCGACAUACGGAAACUGAGUUAUCGCCCAGUUUGCAAAACUCGCAAACACUUAGGCAAAAAGUCGAAAAAGGGGUCAAAACUCGCAUCGGUAGUCCGAAUGACAUGCAAACACACUAAUAGCACCGCGUAGGUAAUAGACACGCGUUAGAACUUACGGGACUCGAUUUCGACAUACGGAGACCGAGUUAUCGCGGAGUUUACAAAACUCGCCAACACUUGGGCAAAAAGCCGAAAAAGAGGUCAAAACCCGCAUCUGCCGUCCGAAUGACACGCAAACACACACAUAGAACUGCCUAGGUAAUAGACACGCAUUAGAACUUACGGGACUCGAUUCUGACAUACGGAGACCGAGUUAUUGCCCAGUUUGCAAAACUCGCCAACACUUAGGCAAAAAGCCGAAAAAGAGGUCAAAACUCGCAUCGGCCGUCCGAAUGACAUGCAAACACACACAUAGAACCGCGUAGGUAAUAGACACGCAUUAGAACUUACGGGACUCGAUUCCGACAUACGGAGACCGAGUUAUCGCUUAAUUUGCAAAACACGCCAAUACUUAGACAAAUAGCGGAAAAGGAGGUCAAAAACCCGCAUCAGCCGUUCGAAUGACACGCAAACACACACAUAACACCGCGUAGGUAAUAGUCAUGCAUUAGAACUUACGGGACUCGAUUCCGACAUACGGAGACUGAGUUAUCGCCCAGUUUGCAAAACUCGCCAACACUUAGGCAAAAAGUCGAAAAAGGGGUCAAAACUCGCAUCGGUAGUCCGAAUGACACGCAAACACACUAAUAGCACCGCGUAGGUAAUAGACACGCGUUAGAACUUAUGGGACUCGAUUCUGACAUACGGAGACCGAGUUAUCGCGGAGUUUGCAAAACUCGCCAACACUUGGGCAAAAAGCCAAAAAAGAGGUCAAAACCCGCAUCUGCCGUCCGAAUGACACGCAAAUACACAUAUUGCACCGUGUAGGUAAUAGACACGCCUUAGAACUUACGGGACUCGAUUCUGACGUACGGAGACUGAGUUAUCGCCCAGUUUGAAAAACUCGCCAACACUUAGGCAAAAAGUCGAAAAAGGGGUCAAAACUCGCAUCGGUAGUCCGAAUGACACGUAAACACACUAAUAGCAUCGCGUAGGUAAUAGACACGCGUUAGAACUUACGGGACUCGAUUCUGACAUACGGAGACCGAGUUAUCGCGGAGUUUGCACAAAAAGCCAAAAAAGAGGUCAAAACCCGAAUCUGCCGUCCGAAUGACACGCAAAUACACAUAUUGCACCGUGUAAGUAAUAGACACGCCUUAGAACUUACGGGACUCGAUUCUGACGUACGGAGACUCAGUUAUCGCCCAGUUUGAAAAACUCGCCAACACUUAGGCAAAAAGUCGAAAAAGGGGUCAAAACUCGCAUCGGUAGUCCGAAUGACACGUAAACACACUAAUAGCAUCGCGUAGGUAAUAGACACGCGUUAGAACUUACGGGACUCGAUUCUGACAUACGGAGACCGAGUUAUCGCGGAGUUUGCAAAACUUGCCAACACUUAAGCAAAAAGUCGAAAAAGAGGUCAAAACCAGCAUCGGCCGUCCAAAUGACACACAAACACACACAUAGCACCGCGUAGGUAAUAGACACGCGUUAGAACUUACGGGACUCGAUUCCGACAUACGAAGACUGAGUUAUCGCCCAGUUUGCAAAACUCGCCAACACUUAGGCAAAAACACGAAAAACAGGUCAAAACCGGCAUCGGUCGUCUGAAUGACACUUAAACACACACAUAACACCGUGUAGGUAAUAGUCAUGUAUUAGAACUUACGGGACUCGAUUCCGACAUACGGAGACUGAGUUAUCGCCCAGUUUGCAAAACUCACCAACAAUUAGGCAAAAAGACGAAAAACAGGUCAAAACCCGCAUCGGCCGUCCGAAUGACACGCAAACACACACAUAGCAUCGCGUAGGUAAUUGACACGCGUAAGAACUUACGGGACUCGAUUCCGACAUACGGAGACUGAGUUAUCGCCCAGUUUGCAAAACUCACCAACAAUUAGGCAAAAAGACGAAAAACAGGUCAAAACCCGCAUCGGCCGUCCGAAUGACACGCAAACACACACAUAGCAUCGCGUAGGUAAUUGACACGCGUAAGAACUUACGGGACUCGAUUCCGACAUACGGAGACUGAGUUAUCGCCCAGUUUGCAAAACUCACCAACAAUUAGGCAAAAAGACGAAAAACAGGUCAAAACCCGCAUCGGCCGUCCGAAUGACACGCAAACACACACAUAGCAUCGCGUAGGUAAUUGACACGCGUAAGAACUUACGGGACUCGAUUCCGACAUACGGAGACUGAGUUAUCGCCCAGUUUGCAAAACUCACCAACAAUUAGGCAAAAAGACGAAAAACAGGUCAAAACCCGCAUCGGCCGUCCGAAUGACACGCAAACACACACAUAGCAUCGCGUAGGUAAUUGACACGCGUAAGAACUUACGGGACUCGAUUCCGACAUACGGAGACUGAGUUAUCGCCCAGUUUGCAAAACUCACCAACAAUUAGGCAAAAAGACGAAAAACAGGUCAAAACCCGCAUCGGCCGUCCGAAUGACACGCAAACACACACAUAGCAUCGCGUAGGUAAUUGACACGCGUAAGAACUUACGGGACUCGAUUCCGACAUACGGAGACUGAGUUAUCGCCCAGUUUGCAAAACUCACCAACAAUUAGGCAAAAAGACGAAAAACAGGUCAAAACCCGCAUCGGCCGUCCGAAUGACACGCAAACACACACAUAGCAUCGCGUAGGUAAUUGACACGCGUAAGAACUUACGGGACUCGAUUCCGACAUACGGAGACUGAGUUAUCGCCCAGUUUGCAAAACUCACCAACAAUUAGGCAAAAAGACGAAAAACAGGUCAAAACCCGCAUCGGCCGUCCGAAUGACACGCAAACACACACAUAGCAUCGCGUAGGUAAUUGACACGCGUAAGAACUUACGGGACUCGAUUCCGACAUACGGAGACUGAGUUAUCGCCCAGUUUGCAAAACUCACCAACAAUUAGGCAAAAAGACGAAAAACAGGUCAAAACCCGCAUCGGCCGUCCGAAUGACACGCAAACACACACAUAGCAUCGCGUAGGUAAUUGACACGCGUAAGAACUUACGGGACUCGAUUCCGACAUACGGAGACUGAGUUAUCGCCCAGUUUGCAAAACUCACCAACAAUUAGGCAAAAAGACGAAAAACAGGUCAAAACCCGCAUCGGCCGUCCGAAUGACACGCAAACACACACAUAGCAUCGCGUAGGUAAUUGACACGCGUAAGAACUUACGGGACUCGAUUCCGACAUACGGAGACUGAGUUAUCGCCCAGUUUGCAAAACUCACCAACAAUUAGGCAAAAAGACGAAAAACAGGUCAAAACCCGCAUCGGCCGUCCGAAUGACACGCAAACACACACAUAGCAUCGCGUAGGUAAUUGACACGCGUAAGAACUUACGGGACUCGAUUCCGACAUACGGAGACUGAGUUAUCGCCCAGUUUGCAAAACUCACCAACAAUUAGGCAAAAAGACGAAAAACAGGUCAAAACCCGCAUCGGCCGUCCGAAUGACACGCAAACACACACAUAGCAUCGCGUAGGUAAUUGACACGCGUAAGAACUUACGGGACUCGAUUCCGACAUACGGAGACUGAGUUAUCGCCCAGUUUGCAAAACUCACCAACAAUUAGGCAAAAAGACGAAAAACAGGUCAAAACCCGCAUCGGCCGUCCGAAUGACACGCAAACACACACAUAGCAUCGCGUAGGUAAUUGACACGCGUAAGAACUUACGGGACUCGAUUCCGACAUACGGAGACUGAGUUAUCGCCCAGUUUGCAAAACUCACCAACAAUUAGGCAAAAAGACGAAAAACAGGUCAAAACCCGCAUCGGCCGUCCGAAUGACACGCAAACACACACAUAGCAUCGCGUAGGUAAUUGACACGCGUAAGAACUUACGGGACUCGAUUCCGACAUACGGAGACUGAGUUAUCGCCCAGUUUGCAAAACUCACCAACAAUUAGGCAAAAAGACGAAAAACAGGUCAAAACCCGCAUCGGCCGUCCGAAUGACACGCAAACACACACAUAGCAUCGCGUAGGUAAUUGACACGCGUAAGAACUUACGGGACUCGAUUCCGACAUACGGAGACUGAGUUAUCGCCCAGUUUGCAAAACUCACCAACAAUUAGGCAAAAAGACGAAAAACAGGUCAAAACCCGCAUCGGCCGUCCGAAUGACACGCAAACACACACAUAGCAUCGCGUAGGUAAUUGACACGCGUAAGAACUUACGGGACUCGAUUCCGACAUACGGAGACUGAGUUAUCGCCCAGUUUGCAAAACUCACCAACAAUUAGGCAAAAAGACGAAAAACAGGUCAAAACCCGCAUCGGCCGUCCGAAUGACACGCAAACACACACAUAGCAUCGCGUAGGUAAUUGACACGCGUAAGAACUUACGGGACUCGAUUCCGACAUACGGAGACUGAGUUAUCGCCCAGUUUGCAAAACUCACCAACAAUUAGGCAAAAAGACGAAAAACAGGUCAAAACCCGCAUCGGCCGUCCGAAUGACACGCAAACACACACAUAGCAUCGCGUAGGUAAUUGACACGCGUAAGAACUUACGGGACUCGAUUCCGACAUACGGAGACUGAGUUAUCGCCCAGUUUGCAAAACUCACCAACAAUUAGGCAAAAAGACGAAAAACAGGUCAAAACCCGCAUCGGCCGUCCGAAUGACACGCAAACACACACAUAGCAUCGCGUAGGUAAUUGACACGCGUAAGAACUUACGGGACUCGAUUCCGACAUACGGAGACUGAGUUAUCGCCCAGUUUGCAAAACUCACCAACAAUUAGGCAAAAAGACGAAAAACAGGUCAAAACCCGCAUCGGCCGUCCGAAUGACACGCAAACACACACAUAGCAUCGCGUAGGUAAUUGACACGCGUAAGAACUUACGGGACUCGAUUCCGACAUACGGAGACUGAGUUAUCGCCCAGUUUGCAAAACUCACCAACAAUUAGGCAAAAAGACGAAAAACAGGUCAAAACCCGCAUCGGCCGUCCGAAUGACACGCAAACACACACAUAGCAUCGCGUAGGUAAUUGACACGCGUAAGAACUUACGGGACUCGAUUCCGACAUACGGAGACUGAGUUAUCGCCCAGUUUGCAAAACUCACCAACAAUUAGGCAAAAAGACGAAAAACAGGUCAAAACCCGCAUCGGCCGUCCGAAUGACACGCAAACACACACAUAGCAUCGCGUAGGUAAUUGACACGCGUAAGAACUUACGGGACUCGAUUCCGACAUACGGAGACUGAGUUAUCGCCCAGUUUGCAAAACUCACCAACAAUUAGGCAAAAAGACGAAAAACAGGUCAAAACCCGCAUCGGCCGUCCGAAUGACACGCAAACACACACAUAGCAUCGCGUAGGUAAUUGACACGCGUAAGAACUUACGGGACUCGAUUCCGACAUACGGAGACUGAGUUAUCGCCCAGUUUGCAAAACUCACCAACAAUUAGGCAAAAAGACGAAAAACAGGUCAAAAACCCGCAUCGGCCGUCCGAAUGACACGCAAACACACACAUAGCAUCGCGUAGGUAAUUGACACGCGUAAGAACUUACGGGACUCGAUUCCGACAUACGGAGACUGAGUUAUCGCCCAGUUUGCAAAACUCACCAACAAUUAGGCAAAAAGACGAAAAACAGGUCAAAACCCGCAUCGGCCGUCCGAAUGACACGCAAACACACACAUAGCAUCGCGUAGGUAAUUGACACGCGUAAGAACUUACGGGACUCGAUUCCGACAUACGGAGACUGAGUUAUCGCCCAGUUUGCAAAACUCGCCAACACUUGGGCAAAAAGCCGAAAAAGAGGUCAAAACCCGCAUCUGCCGUCCGAAUGACACGAAUACACAGAUAUAGCACCGUGCAGGUAAUAGACACACGUUAGAACUUAUGGGACUCGAUUCUGACAUACGGAGACCGAGUUAUCGCGGAGUUUGACAAACUCGCCAACACUUGGGCAAAAAGCCGAAAAAGAGGUCAAAACCAGCAUCUGCCGUCCGAAUGACACGAAUACAGACAUAUAGCACCGUGCAGGUAAUAGACACGCGUUAGAACUUACGGGACUCGAUUCUGACAUACAGAGACCGAGUUAUCGCCUAGUUUGCAAAACUCGCCAACAAUUAGGCAAAAAGACGAAAAACAGGUCAAAACCCGCAUCGGCCGUUCGAAUGACACGCAAACACACACAUAACACCGCGUAGGUAAUAGACAUGCAUUAGAACUUACGGGACUCGAUUCCGACAUACGGAGACUGAGUUAUCGCCCAGUUUGCAAAACUCGCCAACACUUAGGCUAAAAGUCGAAAAAGGGGUCAAAACUCGCAUCGGUGGUCCGAAUGACACGCAAACACACUAAUAGCACCGCGUAGGUAAUAGACACGCGUUAGAACUUACGGGACUCGAUUCCGACAUACGGAGACCGAGUUAUCGCCCAGUUUGCAAAACUCGCCAACACUUACGCAAAAAGCCAAAAAAGAGGUCAAAACUCGCAUCGGUAGUCCGAAUGACACGCAAACACACACAUAGCACCGCGUAGAUAAUUGAAACGCAUUAGAACUUAUGGGACUCGAUUCCGACAUAUGGAGACCGAGUUAUCGCCCAGUUUGCAAAACUCGCCAAGACUUAGGCAAAGAGCGGAAAAAGAGGUCAAAAACCCUUAUCGGCCGUUCGAAUGACACGCAAACACACACAUAACACCGUGCAGGUAAUAGACACGCGUUAGAACUUACAGGACUCAAUUCUGACAUACGGAGACCGAGUAAUUGCCCAGUUUGCAAAACUCGCCAACACUUAGGCAAAAAGCCGAAAAAGAGGUCAAAACUCGCAUCGGUCGUCUGAUGACACGCAAACACACACAUAACACCGCGUAGGUAAUAGUCACGCAUUAGAACUUACGGGACUCGAUUCCGACAUACGGAGACUGAUUUAUCGCCCAGUUUGCAAAAGUUGCCAACACUUAGGCAAAAGGACGAAAAAUAGGUCAAAACCCGCAUCGGCCGUCCAAAUAACACGCAAACACACACAUAGCACCGCGUAGGUAAUUGACACGCGUAAGAACUUACGGGACUCGAUUCCGACAUACGGAGACUGAGUUAUAGCCCAGUUUGUAAAACUCGCCAACAAUUAGGCAAAAAGCCAAAAAAGACGUCAAAACCCGCAUCGGCCGUCCGAAUGACACGCAAACACACACAUAGAACCGCGUAGAUAAUUGACACGCAUUAGAACUUACGGUACUCGAUUUCUACAUAUGGAGACCGAUUUAUCGCACAGUUUGCAAAACUCGCCAACACUUAAGCAAAAAGACGAAAAAGAGGUCAAAAACCCGCAUCGGCCGUCUGAAUGACACGCAAACACACACAUAGAACCGCGUAGAUAAUUGACACGCAUUAGAACUUAUGGUACUCGAUUUUGACAUAUGGAGACCGAGUUAUCGCCUAGUUUGUAAAACUCGCCAACACUUAAGCAAAAAGUCGAAAAAGGGGUAAAAACUCGCAUCAGUAGUCCGAAUGACACGCAAACACACUAAUAGCACCGCGUAGGUAAUAGACACGCGUUAGAACUUAUGGGACUCGAUUCCGACAUACGGAGACCGAGUUAUCGCGGAGUUUGCAAAACUCGCCAACACUUAGGCAAAAAGCCGAAAAAGAGGUCAAAACCCGCAUCUGCCGUCCGAAUGACACGAAUACACAGAUAUAGCACCGUGCAGGUAAUAGACACGCGUUAGAACCUACGGGACUCGAUUCUGACAUACGGAGACCGAGUUAUUGCACAGUUUGCAAAACUCGCCAACACUUAGGCAAAAAGCCGAAAAAGAGGUCAAAACUCGCAUCGGCCAUCCGAAUGAUAUGCAAACACACACAUAGAACCGCGUAGGUAAUAGACACGCAUUAGAACUUACGGGACUCGAUUCCGACAUACGGAGACCGAGUUAUCAUCUAAUUUGCAAAACACGCCAACACUUAGGCAAAAAGAGGAAAAAGAGGUCAAAAACCCGCAUCGGCUGUUCGAAUGACACGCAAACACACACAUAACACUGCGUAGGUAAUAGUCAUGCAUUAGAACUUACGGGACUCCAAUCUGACAUACGAAAACUGAGUUAUCGUCCAGUUUGCAAAACUCGCCAACACUUAGGCAAAAAGAGAAAAAACAGGUCAAAACCCGCAUCGGCCAUCUGAAUGAUACGCAACCACACACAUAGCACCGCGUAGGUAAUAGACACGCGUUAGAACUUACGGGACUCGAUUCCGACAUACGGAGACUGAGUUAUCGCCCAGUUUGCAAAACUCGUCAACGCUUAGGCAAAAAGUCGAAAAAGGGGUCAAAACUCGCAUCGGUCGUCCGAAUGACACGCCAACACACUAAUAGUACCGCGUAGGUAAUAGUCAUGCAUUAGAACUUACGGUACUCUAUUUCGAGUCGUCCGAAUGACACGCCAACACACUAAUAGUACCGCGUAGGUAAUAGACACGCGUUAGAACUUACGGGACUCGAUUCCGACAUAAGGAGACCGAGUUAUGACCCAGUUUGCAAAACUCGCCAACAUUUAGGCAAAAAGCCAAAAAAGACGUCAAAACCCGCAUCGGCCGUCCGAAUGACACGCAAACACACACAUAGAACCGCGUAGGUAAUUGACACGCAUUAGAACUUACGGUACUCGAUUUCGACAUAUGGAGACCGAUUUAUCGCCCAGUUUGCAAAACUCACCAACACUUAAGCAAAAAGACGAAAAAGAGGUCAAAACCCGCAUCGGCCGUCUGAAUGACACGCAAACACACACAUAACACCGCGUAGGUAAUAGUCAUGCAUUAGAACUUACGGGACUCGAUUCCGACAUACGGAGACCGAGUUAUCGCCUAAUUUGCAAAACACGCCAACACUUAGGCAAAAAGACGAAAAACAGGUCAAAACCCGCAUCGGCCGUCCGAAUGACACGCAAACACACACAUAGUACCGCGUAGAUAAUUGACACGCAUUAGAACUUGCGGUACUCGAUUUCGACAUAUGAAGACCGAGUUAUCACCCAGUUUGCAAAACUCGCCAACACUUAGGCAAAAAGACGAAAAAGAGGUCAAAACCAGCAUCGGCCGUCCGAAUGACACACAAACACACACAUAGCACCGCGUAGGUAAUAGACACGCGUUAGAACUUACGGGACUCGAUUCCGACAUACGGAGACCGAGUUAUCGCCCAGUUUGCAAAACUCGCCAACACUUAGGCAAAAAGCCGAAAAAGAGGUCAAAACCCGCACCGGCCGUCCGAAUGACACGCAAACACACACAUAGCACCGCGUAGGUAAUAGACACGCGUUAGAACUUACGGGACUCGAUUCCGACAUACGGAGACCGAGUUAUCGCCCAGUUUGCAAAACUCGCCAACACUUAGGCAAAAAGCCGAAAAUGAGGUCAAAACCCGCACCGGCAGUCCGAAUGACACGCAAACACACACAUAGCACCGCGUAGGUAAUAGACACGCGUUAGAACUUACGGGACUCGAGUCUGACAUACGGAGACCGAGUUAUCGCCCAGUUUACAAAACUCGCCAACACUUGGGCAAAAAGCCAAAAAAGAGGUCAAAACCCUGAUCGACCGUCCGAAUGACAUGCAAACACACACAUAGAACCGCGUAGGUAAUUGACACGCAUUAGAACUUACGGGACUCGAUUCCGACAUACGGAGACCGAGUUAUCGCGGAUUUUGCAAAACUCGCCAACACUUAGGCAAAAAGCCUAAAAAGGGGUCAAAACUCGCAUCGGUCGUCCGAAUGACACGCCAACACACUAAUAGCACCGCGUAGGUAAUAUACACGCAUUAGAACUUACGGGACUCGAUUCCGACAUACGGAGACCGAGUUAUCGCGGAGUUUGCAAAACUCGCCAACACUUAGGCAAAAUGCCAAAAAAGAGGUCAAAACCCGCAUCUGCCGUCCGAAUGACACGCAAACACAUUAAUAGCACCGCGUAGGUAAUAGACACACGUUAGAACUUACGGGACUCGAUUCCGACAUACAAAGACCGAGUUAUCGCGGAGUUUGUAAAACUCGCCAACACUUGGGCAAAAAGCCGAAAAAGAGGUCAAAACCCGCAUCUGCCGUCGAAUGACACGAAUACACACAUAUAGCACCGUGCAGGUAAUAGACACGCGUUAGAACUUACGGGACUCGAUUCUGACAUACGGAGACCGAGUUAUUGCCCAGUUUGCAAAACUCGCCAACACUUAGGCAAAUAGCCGAAAAAGAGGUCAAAACUCGCAUCGGCAGUCCGAAUGACAUACAAACACACACAUAGAACUGCGUAGGUAAUAGACACACAUUAGAACUUACGGGACUCGAUUCCGACAUACGGAGACCGAGUUAUCGCCUAGUUUGUAAAACUCGCCAACACUUAGGCAAAAAGACGAAAAAUAGGUCAAAACCCGCAUCGGUCGUCUGAAUGACACGCAAACACACACAUAACACCGCGUAGGUAAUAGUAAUGCAUUAGAACUUACGAGACUCGAUUCCAACAUACAGAGACUGAUUUAUCGCCCAGUUUGUAAAAGUUGCCAACACUUAGGCAAAAAGACGAAAAAUAGGUCAAAACCCGCAUCGGUCGUCCAAAUAACACGCAAACACACACAUAGCACCGCGUAGGUAAUUGACACGCGUAAGAACUUACGGGAUUCGAUUCCGACAUACGGAGACUGAGUUAUCGCCCAGUUUGCAAAACUCGCCAACAAUUAGGCAAAAAGACGAAAACAGGUCAAAACCCGCAUUGGCCGUCCGAAUGACACGCAAACACACACAUAGCACCGCAUAGGUAAUUGACACGCAUUAGAACUAAUGGGACUCGAUUCCGACAUACAUAGACCGAGUUAUCGCCAGUUUGCAAAACUCGCCAAGACUUAGGCAAAAAGCCAAAAAAGAGGUCAAAACCCGCAUCGGCCGUCCGAAUGACACGCAAACACACACAUAGCACCGCGUAGGUAAUAGACACGCGUUAGAACUUACGGGACUCGAUUCCGACAUACGGAGACCGAGUUAUCGCCCAGUUUGCAAAACUCGCCAACACUUAGGCAAAAAGUCGAAAAAGGGGUCAAAACUCGCAUCGGUAGUCCGAAUGACACGCAAACACACAAAUAGCACCGCGUAGGUAAUAGACACGCGUUAGAACUUACGGGACUCGAUUCCGACAUACGGAGACUGAGUUAUCGCCCAGUUUGCAAAACUCGCCAACACUUAGGCAAAAAGUCGAAAAAGGGGUCAAAACUCGCAUCGGUAGUCCGAAUGACACGCAAACACACUAAUAGCACCGCGUAGGUAAUAGACACGCGUUAGAACUUACGGGACUCGAUUCCGACAUACGGAGACCGAGUUAUCGCGCAGUUUGCAAAACUCGCCAACACUUAGGCAAAAAGCCGAAAAAGAGGUCAAAACCCACAUCUGCCGUCCGAAUGACACGCAACCACACAUAUAGCACCGUGUAGGUAAUAGACACGCCUUAGAACUUACGGGACUCGAUUCUGACGUACGGAGACCGAGUUAUUGCCCAGUUUGCAAAACUCGCCAACACUUAGGCAAAAAGUUGAAAAAGGGGUCAAAACUCGCAUCGGUCGUCCGAAUGACACGCCAACACACUAAUAGCACCGCGUAGGUAAUAGACACGUGUUAGAUCUUAUGGGACUCGAUUUUGACAUAUGGAGACCGAGUUAUCGCCCAAUUUGCAAAACUCGCCAACAAUUAGGCAAAAAGCUGAAAAAGAGGUCAAAAACCCGCAUCGGCCGUUCGAAUGACACGCAAACACACACAUAACACCGCGUAGGUAAUAGACAUGCAUUAGAACUUAUGGGACUAGAUUCCGACAUACGGAGACUGAGUUAUCGCCCAGUUUGCAAAACUCGCCAACACUUAGGCAAAAAGUCAAAAAAGGGGUAAAAACUCGAAUCAGUAGUCCGAAUGACACACAAACACACUAAUAGCACCGCGUAGGUAAUAGACACGCGUUAGAACUUACGGGACUCGAUUACGACAUACGGAGACCGAGUUAUCGCGGAGUUGGCAAAACUCGCCAACACUUAGGCAAAAAGCCGAAAAAGAUGUCAAAACCCGCAUCUGCCUUCCGAAUGACACGCAAACACAUAUAUAGCACCGUGUAGGUAAUAGACACGCGUUAGAACUUAUGGGACUCGAUUCUGACGUACGGAGACUGAGUUAUUGCCCAGUUUGCAAAACUCGCCAAGAUUUAGGCAAAAAGCCGAAAAAGAGGUCAAACUCGCAUCGGCCGUCCGAAUGACAUUCAAACACACACAUAGAACCGCGUGGGUAAUAGACAUGCAUUAGAACUUAUGGGACUCGAUUCCGACAUACGGAGACCGAGUUAUCGCCCAAUUUGCAAAAUUCGCCAACACUUAGGCAAAAAGCUGAAAAAGAGGUCAAAAACCGGCAUCGGCCAUUCGAAUGACACGCAAACAUGCACAUAACACAGCGUAGGUAAUAGACAUGCAUUAGAACUUACGGGACUCGAUUCCGACAUACGGAGACUGAGUUAUCGCCCAGUUUGCAAAACUCGCCAACACUUAGGCAAAAAGUCGAAAAAGGGGUCAAAACUCGCAUCGGUAGUUCGAAUGACACGCAAACACAUUAAUAGCACCGCGUAGGUAAUAGACACGCGUUAGAACUUACAGGACUCGAUUCCGACAUACGGAGACCGAGUUAUCGCGGAGUUUGCAAAACUCGCCAGCACUUGGGCAAAAAGCCGAAAAAGAGGUCAAAACCCGCAUCUGCCGUCCGAAUGACACGAAUACACACAUAUAGCACCGUGCAGGGAAUAGACACGCGUUAGAACUUACGGGACUCGAUUCUGACAUACGGAGUCCGAGUUAUUGCCCAGUUUGCAAAACUCGCCAACACUUAGACAAAAAGCCGAAAAAGAGGUCAAAACUCGCAUCGGCCGUCCGAAUGACAUGCAAACACACAUAGAACCGCGUAGGUAAUAGACACACAUUAGAACUUACGGGACUCGUUUCCGACAUACGGAGACCGAGUUAUCGUCUAAUUUGCAAAACACGCCAACACUUAGGCAAAAAGAGGAAAAAGAGGUCAAAAACCCGCAUCGGCCGUUUGAAUGACACGCAAACACACACAUAACACCGCGUAGGUAAUAGUCAUGCAUUAGAACUUACGGGACUCCAUUCUGACAUACGGAAACUGAGUUAUCGCCCAGUUUGCAAAACUCGCCAACACUUAGGCAAAAAGACAAAAAAUAGGUCAAAACCCGCAUCGGCCGUCUGAAUGACACGCAAACACACACAUGGCACCGCGUAGGUAAUAGACACGCGUUAGAACUUACGGGACUCGAUUCCGACAUACGGAGACUGAGUUAUCGCCUAGUUUGCAAAACUCGCCAACACUUAGGCAAAAAGCCAAAAAAGACGUCAAAACCCGCAUCGGCCGUCCGAAUGACACGCAAACACACACAUAGAACCGCGUAGCUAAUUGACACGCAUUAGAACUUACGGUACUCUAUUUCGACAUAUGGAGACCGAGUUAUCGCCCAGUUUGCAAAACUCGCCAACACUUAAGCAAAAAGACGAAAAAGAGGUCAAAACCCGCAUCGGCCGUCCGAAUGACACACAAACACACACAUAGCACCGCGUAGGUAAUAGACACGCGUUAGAACUUACGAGACUCGAUUCCGACAUACAAAGACUGAGUUAUCGCCCAGUUUGCAAAACUCGCCAACACUUAGGCAAAAAGUCAAAAAAGGGGUCAAAACUCGCAUCGUUCGUCCGAAUGACACGCAAACACACUAAUAGCAUCGCGUAGGUAAUAGAAACGCGUUAGAACUUACGGGACUCGAUUCCGACAUACGGAGACCGAGUUAUCGCGGAGUUUGCAAAACUCGCCAACACUUAGGCAAAAAGCUGAAAAAGAGGUCAAAAACCCGCAUCGGCCGUUCGAAUGACACGCAAACACACACAUAACACCGCGUAGGUAAUAGACAUGCAUUACAACUUACGAGACUCGAUUCCGACAUACGGAGACUGAGUUAUCGCCCAGUUUGCAAAACUCGCCAACACUUAGGCAAAAAGUCAAAAAAGGGGUCAAAACUAGCAUCGGUAGUCCGAAUGACACGCAAACACACUAAUAGCACCGCGUAGGUAAUUGACACGCGUUAGAACUUACAGGACUCGAUUCCGACAUACGGAGACCGAGUUAUCGCGGAGUUUGCAAAACUCGCCAACACUUGGGCAAAAAACCGAAAAAGAGGUCAAAACCCGCAUCUGCCGUCCGAAUGACACGAAUACACACAUAUAGCACCGUGCAGGUAAUAGACAUGCGUUAGAACUUACGGGACUCGAUUCUGACAUACGGAGACCGAAUUAUUGCCCAGUUUACAAAACUCGCCAACACUUAGGCAAGAAGCCGAAAAAGAGGUCAAAACUCGCAUCGGCCGUCCGAAUGACAUACAAACACACACAUAGAACCGCGUAGGUAAUAGAUAUGCAUUAGAACUUACGGGACUCGAUUCCGACAUACGGAGACCGAGUUAUCGCCUAGUUUGUAAAACUCGCCAACACUUAGGCAAAAAGACGAAAAACAGGUCAAAACCCGCAUCGGUCGUCUAAAUGACACGCAAACACACGCAUAGCACUGCGUAGGUAAUUGACACGCGUAAGAACUUACGGGACUCGAUUCCGACAUACGGAGACUGAGUUAUCGCCCAGUUUGCAAAACUCGCCAAUAAUUAGGCAAAAAGACGAAAAACAGGUCAAAACCCGCAUCGGCCGUCCGAAUGACACGCAAACACACACAUAGCACCGCGUAGGUAAUUGACACGUAUUAGAACUAAUGGGACUCGAUUCCGACAUACAGAGACCGAGUUAUCGACAGUUUGCAAAACUCGCCAAGACUUAGGCAAAAAGCCAAAAAAGAGGUCAAAACCCGCAUCGGUCGUCCGAAAGACACGCAAACACACACAUAGAACCGCGUAGGUAAUUGACACGCAUUAGAACUUACGGUACUCGAUUUCGACAUAUGGAGACCGAGUUAACACCCAGUUUGCAAAACUCGCCAACACUUAGGCAAAAAGACGAAAAAGAGGUCAAAACCCGCAUCGGCCGUCCGAAUGACACACAAACAUACACAUAGCACCGCGUAGGUAAUAGACACGCGUUAGAACUUACGGGACUCGAUUCCGACAUACGAAGACUGAGUUAUCGCCCAGUUUGCAAAACUCGCCAACACUUAAGCAAAAAGUCGAAAAAGGGGUCAAAACUCGCAUCGGUCGUCCGAAUGACACGCAAACACACACAUAGCGUCGCGUAGGUAAUAGACAUGCGUUAGAACUUACGGGACUCAAUUCCGACAUACGGAGACCGAGUUAUCGCGGAGUUUGCAAAACUCGCCAACACUUAGGCAAAAAGCCAAAAAAGAUGUCAAAACCCAGAUCUGCCGUCCGAAUGACACGCCAACACACUAAUAGCACCGCGUAGGUAAUAGACACGCGUUAGAACUUAUGGGACUCGAUUUUGACAUAUGGGGACCGAGUUAUCGCCCAAUUUGCAAAACUCACCAACAAUUAGACAAAAAGCUGAAAAAGAGGUCAAAAACCCGCAUCGGCCGUUCGAAUGACACGCAACACACACAUAACACCGCGUAGGUAAUAGACAUGCAUUAGAACUUACGGGACUCGAUUCCAACAUACGGAGACUGAGUUAUCGCCCAGUUUGCAAAACUCGCCAACACUUAGGCAAAAAGUCGAAAAAGGGGUAAAAACUCGUAUCGGUAGUCCGAAUGACACGCAAACACACUAAUAGCACCGCGUAGGUAAUAGACACGCGUUAGAACUUACGGGACUCGAUUCCGACAUACGGAGACCGAGUUAUCGCGGAGUUUGCAAAACUCGCCAACACUUAGGCAAAAAGCCGAAAAAGAAGUCAAAACCCGCAUCUGCCGUCCGAAUGACAUGCAAACACACAUAUAGCACCGUGUAGGUAAUAGACACGUGUUAGAACUUACGGGACUCGAUUCUGACGUACGGAGACUGAGUUAUUGCCCAGUUUGCAAAACUCGCCAACACUUAGGCAAAAAGCCGAAAAGAGGUCAAAACUCGCAUCGGCCGUCCGAAUGACAUACAAACACACACAUAGAACUGCGUAGGUAAUAGACACGCAUUAGAACUUACGGGACUCGAUUCCGACAUACGGAGACUGAGUUAUUGCCCAGUUUUCAAAACUCGCCAACACUUAGGCAAAAAGUCAAAAAGGGGUAAAAACUCGCAUCGGUAGUCCGAAUGACACGCAAACACACUAAUAGCACUGCGUUAUUGCGGAGUUUGUAAAACUCAUCAACACUUGGGCAAAAAGCCGAAAAAGAGGUCAAAACCCGCAUCUGUCGUCCGAAUGACACGAAUACACACAUAUAGCACCGUGAAGGUAAUAGACACGCGUUAGAACUUACGGGACUCGAUUCUGACAUAUGGAGACCGAGUUAUUGCCCAGUUUGCAAAACUCGCCAACACUUAGGCAAAAAGUCGAAAAAGGGGUCAAAACUCGCAUCGGUCGUCCGAAUGACACGCCAACACACUAAUAGCACCGCGUAGGUAAUAGACACUCGUUCGAACUUACGGGACUCGAUUUUGACAUAUGGAGACCGAGUUAUCGCCCAAUUUGCAAAACUCGCCAAUAAUUAGGCAAAAAGCUGAUAAAGAGGUCAAAAACCCGCAUCGGUCGUUCGAAUGACACGCAAACACACAUAUAGCACCGUGUAGGUAAUAGACACGCGUUAGAACUUACGGGUCUCGAUUUUGACAUGCAGAGACCGAGUUAUUGCCCAGUUUGCAAAACUCGCCAACACUUAGGCAAAAAGCCGAAAAAGAGGUCAAAACUCGCAUCGGCCGUCCGAAUGAUAUGUAAACACAAACAUAGAACCGCGUGGGUAAUAGACACACAUUAGAACUUACGGGACUCGAUUCCGACAUACGGAGACCGAGUUAUCGCCCAAUUUGCAAAACUCGCCAACACUUAGGCAAAAAGCAGAAAAAGAGGUCAAAAACCCACAUCGGCCGUUCGAAUGACAUGCAAACCCACACAUAACACACCGUAGGUAAUAGACAUGCAUUAGAACUUACGGGACUCGAUUCCGACAUACGGAGACUGAGUUAUCGCCCAAUUUGCAAAACUCGCCAACACUUAGGCAAAAAGCUGAAAAAGAGGUCAAAACUCGCAUCGGCCGUCCGAAUGACAUGCAAACACACACAUAGAAUUGCGUAGCUAAUAGACACGAAUUAGAACUUACGGGACUCGAUUCUGACAUACGGAGACCGAGUUAUCGCCCAAUUUGCAAAACUCGCCAACACUUAGGCAAAAAGCUGAAAAAGAGGUUAAAAACCCGCAUCGGCCGUUCGAAUGACACGCAAACACACACAUAACACCGCGUAGGUAAUAGACAUGCAUUAGAACUUACGGGACUCGAUUCCGACAUACAGAGACUGAGUUAUCGCCCAGUUUGCAAAACUCGCCAACACUUAGGCAAAAAGUCAAAAAGGGGGUCAAAACUCGCAUCGGUAGUCCGAAUGACACACAAAAACACUAAUAGCACCGCGUAGGUAAUAGACACGUGUUAGAACUUACGGGACUCGAUUCUGACAUACGGAGACCGAGUUAUCGCGGAGUUUGCAAAACUCGCCAACACUUGGGCAAAAAGCCGAAAAAGAGGUCAAAACCCGCAUCUGCCGUCUGAAUGACACGAAUACACACAUAUAGCACCGUGCAGGUAAUAGACACGCGUUAGAACUUACAGGACUCAAUUCUGACAUACGGAGAUCGAGUAAUUGUUCAGUUUGCAAAACUCGCCAACACUUAGGCAAAAAGCCGAAAAAGAGGUCAAAACUCGCAUCGGUCGUCCGAAUGACAUGCAAACACAAACAUAGAACCGCGCAGGUAAUAGACACGCAUUAGAACUUAUGCGACUCGAUUCUGACAUACGGAGAUCGAGUUAUCGCUCAGUUUGCAAAACUCGCCAACACUUAGGCAAAAAGUCGAAAAAGGGGUCAAAACUCGUAUCGGUCGUCCGAAUGACACGCCAACACACUAAUAGCACCGCGUAGGUAAUAGACACGCGUUAGACCUUAUGGGAAUCGAUUUUGACAUAUGGAGACCGAGUUAUCGCCCAAUUUGCAAAACUCGCCAACACUUAGGCAAAAAGCCAAAAAAGAGGUCAAAACCCGCAUCGGCCGUCCGAAUGACACGCAAACACACACAUAGCACCGCGUAGAUAAUUGACACGCAUAAGAACUUAUGGGACUCGAUUCUGACAUAUGGAGACCGAGUUAUCGCCCAGUUUGCAAAACUCGCCAAGACUUAGGCAAAAAGCCGAAAAAGAGGUCAAAACCCGCAUCGGCCGUCCGAAUGACACACAAACACACACAUAACACCGCGUAGGUAAUAGACACGCAUUAAAACUUAUGGGACUCGAUUCCGACAUACGGAGACCGAGUUAUCGCCCAGUUUGAAAAACUCGCCAACACUUGGGCAGAAAGCCAAAAAAGAGGUCAAAACCCGGAUCGGCUGUCCGAAUGACAUGCAAACACACACAUAGAACCGCGUAGGUAAUUGACACGCAUUAGAACUUACGGUACUCAAUUUUGACAUAUGGAGACCGAGUUAUUACCCAGUUUGCAAAACUCGCCAACACUUAGGCAAAAACACGAAAAAGAGGUCCAAACCCGCAUCGGUCGUCCGAAUGACACACAAACACACACAUAGCACAGUGUAGGUAAUAGACACACGUUAGAACUUUCGGGACUCGAUUCAGACAUACGGAGACUGAGUUAUCGCCCAGUUUGAAAAACUCGCCAACACUUAGGCAAAAAGUCGAAAAAGGGGUCAAAACUCGCAUCGGUCGUCCGAAUGACAUGCAAACAAACUAAUAGCAUCGCGUAGGUAAUAGACACGCGUUAGAACUUACGGGACUCGAUUCCGACAUACGUAGACCGAGUUAUCGCGGAGUUUGCAAAACUCGCCAACACUUAGGCAAAAAGCCGAAAAAGAGGUCAAAACCCGCAUUUGCCGUCCGAAUGACACGCAAACACACAUAUAGCACCGUGUAGGUAAUAGACAUGCGUUAGAACUUAUGGGACUCGAUUCUGACAUACAGAGACUGAGUUAUUGCCCAGUUUGCAAAACCCGCCAACACUUAGGCAAAAAGCCGAAAAAGAGGUCAAAUCUCACAUCGGCCGUCCGAAUGACAUGCAAACACACACAUAGAACCGCGUGGGUAAUAGACACGCAUUAGAACUUACGGGACUCGAUUCCGACAUACGGAGACCGAGUUAUCGCCCAAUUUGUAAAACCCGCCAACACUUAGGCAAAAAGCUGAAAAAGAGGUCAAAAACCCGCAUCGGCCGUUCGAAUGACACGCAAACACACACAUAACACCGCGUAGGUAAUUGACAUGCAUUAGAACUUACGGGACUCAAUUCCGACAUACGGAGACUGAGUUAUUGCCCAGUUUGCAAAACUCGCCAACACUUAGGCAAAAAGUCAAAAAAUGGGUCAAAACUCGCAUCGGUAGUCCGAAUGACACGCAAACUAACUAAUAGCACCGCGUAGGUAAUAGACACGCGUUAGAACUUACGAGACUCGAUUCUGACAUACAGAGACCGAGUUAUCGCGGAGUUUGCAAAACUCGCCAACACUUGGGCAAAAAGCCGAAAAGAGGUCAAAACCCGCAUCUGCCAUCCGAAUGACACAAAUACACACAUAUAGCACCGUGCAGGUAAUAGACACGCGUUAGAACUUACGGGACUCGAUUCUGACAUAUGGAGACCCAGUUAUUGCCCAGUUUGCAAAACUCGCAAACACUUAAGCAAAAAGCCGAAAAAGAGGUCAAAACUCGCAUCGGCCCUCCGAAUGACAUGCAAACACACACAUAGAACUGCAUAGGUAAUAGACACGCAUUAGAACUUACGGGACUCGAUUCCGACAAACGGAGACCGAGUUAUCGCCUAAUUUGCAAAACACGCCAACACUUAGGCAAAAAGAGGAAAAAGAGGUCAAAAACCCGCAUCGGCCGUUCGAAUGACACGCAAACACACACAUAACACCGCGUAUGUAAUUGUCAUGCAUUAGAACUUACAGGACUCGAUUCCGACAUACGGAGACUGAUUUAUCGCGGAGUUUGUAAAACUCACCAACACUUGGGCAAAAAGCCGAAAAAUAGGUCAAAACCCGCAUCGGCCGUCCGAAUGACACGCAAACAUACAUAGCACCGCGUAGGUAAUUGACACGCGUAAGAACUUACGGUACUCGAUUCUGAUAUAUGGAGACUGAGUUAUCGCCCAGUUUGCAAAACUUGCCAACAAUUAGGCAAAAUGACGAAAAAUAGGUCAAAACCCGCAUAGGCCGUCUGAAUGACACGCAAACACACACAUAGAACCGCGUAGGUAAUUGACACACAUUAGAACUUACGGUACUCGAUUUCGACAUAUGGAGACCGAGUUAUCACCCAGUUUGCAAAACUCACCAAUACUUAGGUAAAAAGACGAAAAAGAGGUCAAAACCCGCAUCGGCCGUCCGAAUGACACACAAACACACACAUAGCACCGCGUAGGUAAUAGACACGCGUUAGAACUUACGGGACUCGAUUCCGACAUACGAAGACUGAGUUAUCGCCUAGUUUGCAAAACUCGCCAACACUUAAGCAAAAAGUCGAAAAAGGGGUCAAAACUCGCAUCGGUCGUCCGAAUGACACGCAAACACACACAUAGCAUCGCGUAGGUAAUAGACACGCGUUAGAACUUACGGGACUAGAUUCCGACAUACGAAGACCGAGUUAUCGCGGAGUUUGCAAAACUCGCCAAUACUUAGGCAAAAAGCCGAAAAAGAGGUCAAAACCCGCAUCUGUCGUUCGUAUGACACGUAAACACAAAUAUAACACCGUGUAGGUAAUAGACACACCUUAGAACUUACGGGACUCGAUUCCGACAUACGGAGACUUAGUUAUCGCCCAGUUUGCAAAACUCGCCAACACUUAGUCAAAAAGUGAAAAAGGGGUAAAAACUCGCAUCGGUAGUCCGAAUGACACGCAAACACACUAAUAGCACCGCGUAGGUAAUAGACAUGCGUUAGACCUUACGGGACUCGAUUCUGACAUACGGAGACCGAGUUAUAGCGGAGUUUGCAAAACUCGUCAACACUUGGGCAAAAAGCCGAAAAAGAGGUCAAAACCCGCAUCUGCCGUUCGUAUGACACGCAAACACACAUAUAGCACCGUGUAGGUAAUAGACACGCCUUAGAACUUACGGGACUCGAUUCUGACAUACGGAGACUUAGUUAUCGCCCAGUUUGCAAAACUCGCCAAUACUUAGGCAAAAAGUCGAAAAAGGGGUAAAAACUCGCAUCGGUAGUCCGAAUGACACGCAAACACCCUAAUAGCACCGCGUAGGUAAUAGACACGCGUUAGAAGUUACGGGACUCGAUUCUGACAUACGGAGACCGAGUUAUAGCGGAGUUUACAAAACUCGCCAACAGUUGGGCAAAAAGCCAAAAAAGAGGUCAAAACCCGGAUCGGCCGUCCGAAUGACAUGCAAACACACACAUAGAACCGUGUAGGUAAUUGACACGCAUUAGAACUUACGGUACUCAAUUUUGACAUAUGGAGACCGAGUUAUUACCCAGUUUGCAAAACUCGCCAACACUUAGGCAAAAACACGAAAAAGAGGUCAAAACCCGCAUCGGCCGUUCGAAUGACACACAAACAAACACAUAACACAACGUAGGUAAUAGACACGCGUUAGAACUUACGGGACUCGAUUCAGACAUACGGAGACUGAGUUAUCGCCCAGUUUGAAAAACUCACCAACAAUUAGGAAAAAUGUCGAAAAAGGGGUCAAAACUCGCAUCGGUCGUCUGAAUGACACGCAAACACACUAAUAGGAUCGCGUAGGUAAUAGACACGCGUUAGAACUUACGGGACUCGAUUCCGACAUACGGAGACCGAGUUAUCGCGGAGUUUGCAAAACUCGCCAACACUUAGGCAAAAAGCCGAAAAAGAGGUCAAAACUCGCAUCGGCCCUCCGAAUGACAUGCAAACACACACAUAGCACCGCGUAGGUAAUAGACACGCGUUAGAACUGACAGGACUCGAUUCUGAUAAACGGAGACCGAGUUAUCGCCUAAUUUGCAAAACUCGCCAACACUUAGGCAAAAAGCCGAAAAAGAGGUCAAAACUCGCAUCGGCCCUCCGAAUGACAUGCAAACACACACAUAGCACCGCGUAGGUAAUAGACACGCGUUAGAACUGACAGGACUCGAUUCUGAUAAACGGAGACCGAGUUAUCGCCUAAUUUGCAAAACUCGCCAACACUUAGGCAAAAAGCCGAAAAAGAGGUCAAAACUCGCAUCGGCCCUCCGAAUGACAUGCAAACACACACAUAGCACCGCGUAGGUAAUAGACACGCGUUAGAACUGACAGGACUCGAUUCUGAUAAACGGAGACCGAGUUAUCGCCUAAUUUGCAAAACUCGCCAACACUUAGGCAAAAAGCCGAAAAAGAGGUCAAAACUCGCAUCGGCCCUCCGAAUGACAUGCAAACACACACAUAGCACCGCGUAGGUAAUAGACACGCGUUAGAACUGACAGGACUCGAUUCUGAUAAACGGAGACCGAGUUAUCGCCUAAUUUGCAAAACUCGCCAACACUUAGGCAAAAAGCCGAAAAAGAGGUCAAAACUCGCAUCGGCCCUCCGAAUGACAUGCAAACACACACAUAGAACCGCGUAGGUAAUAGACACGCAUUAGAACUUACGGGACACGAUUCCAACAUAUGGAGACCGAGUUAUCGCCUAGUUGGCAAAACUCGCCAACACUUAGGCAAAAAGAUGAAAAAUAGGUCAAAACCCGCAUCGGUCUUCUGAAUGACACGUAAACACACACAUAACACCGCGUAGGUAAUUGUCAUGUAUUAGAACUUACAGGACUCGAUUCCGACAUACGGAGACUGAUUUAUAGGCCAGGUUGCAAAACUUGUUAACUCUUAGGCAAAAAGCCGAAAAAGAGGUCAAAACCCGCAUCUGCCAUUCGUAUGACACGCAAACACACAUAUAGCACCGUGUAGGUAAUAGACACGCCUUAGAACUUACGGGACUCGAUUCUGACAUACAGAGACCGAGUUAUUGCCCAGUUUGCAAAACUCGCCAAUACUUAGGCAAAAAGUCGAAAAAGGGGUAAAAACUCGCAUCGGUAGUCCGAAUGACACGCAAACACCCUAAUAGCACCGCGUAGGUAAUAGACAUCGGAGACCGAGUUAUCGCCCAAUUUGUAAAACCCGCCAACACUUAGGCAAAAACACGAAAAAGAGGUCAAAACCCGGAUCGGCCGUCCGAAUGACAUGCAAACACACACAUAGAACCGCGUAGGUAAUUGACAUGCAUUAGAACUUACGGGACUCGAUUCUGACAUACAGAGACCGAGUUAUUGCCCAGUUUGCAAAACUCGCCAAUACUUAGGCAAAAAGUCGAAAAAGGGGUAAAAACUCGCAUCGGUAGUCCGAAUGACACGCAAACACCCUAAUAGCACCGCGUAGGUAAUAGACAUCGGAGACCGAGUUAUCGCCCAAUUUGUAAAACCCGCCAACACUUAGGCAAAAACACGAAAAAGAGGUCAAAACCCGGAUCGGCCGUCCGAAUGACAUGCAAACACACACAUAGAACCGCGUAGGUAAUUGACAUGCAUUAGAACUUACGGGACUCGAUUCUGACAUACAGAGACCGAGUUAUUGCCCAGUUUGCAAAACUCGCCAAUACUUAGGCAAAAAGUCGAAAAAGGGGUAAAAACUCGCAUCGGUAGUCCGAAUGACACGCAAACACCCUAAUAGCACCGCGUAGGUAAUAGACAUCGGAGACCGAGUUAUCGCCCAAUUUGUAAAACCCGCCAACACUUAGGCAAAAACACGAAAAAGAGGUCAAAACCCGGAUCGGCCGUCCGAAUGACAUGCAAACACACACAUAGAACCGCGUAGGUAAUUGACAUGCAUUAGAACUUACGGGACUCGAUUCUGACAUACAGAGACCGAGUUAUUGCCCAGUUUGCAAAACUCGCCAAUACUUAGGCAAAAAGUCGAAAAAGGGGUAAAAACUCGCAUCGGUAGUCCGAAUGACACGCAAACACACACAUAACACCGCGUAGGUAAUUGACAUGCAUUAGAACUUACGGGACUCGAUUCCGACAUACGGAGACUGAGUUAUUGCCCAGUUUGUAAAACUCGCCAACACUUAGGCAAAAAGUCAAAAAGGGGUAAAUACUCGAAUCGGUAGUCCGAAUGACACGCAAACACACUAAUAGCACCGUGUUAUCGCGGAGUUUGCAAAACUCACCAACACUUGGGCAAAAAGCCGAAAAAGAGGUCAAAACCGCAUCUGUCGUCCGAAUGACACGAAUACACACAUAUAGCACCGUGCAGGUAAUAGACACGCGUUAGAACUUACGGGACUCGAUUUUGACAUAUGGAGACCGAGUUAUUGCCCAGUUUGCAAAACUCGCCAACACUUAGGCAAAAAGCCGAAAAAGAGGUCAAAACUCGCAUCGGCCCUCCGAAUGACAUGCAAACACACACAUAGAACCGCGUAGGUAAUAUACACGCAUUAGAACUUACGGGACUCGAUUCCAACAUAUGGAGACCGAGUUAUCGCCUAGUUUGCAAAACUCGCCAACACUUAGGCAAAAAGACGAAAAAAUAGGUCAAAACCCGCAUCGGUCUUCUGAAUGACACGUAAACACACACAUAACACCGCGUAGGUAAUUGUCAUGUAUUAGAACUUACAGGACUCGAUUCCGACAUACGGAGACUGAUUUAUCGCCCAGUUUGCAAAACUUGCUAACUCUUAGGUAAAAAGACGAAAAACAGGUCAAAACCCGCAUCGGCCGUCCGAAUGACACGCAAACACACACAUAGCACCGCGUAGGUAAUUGACACGCGUAAGAACUUACGGGACUCGAUUCCGACAUACGGACACUAAGGUAUCCCCCAGUUUGCAAAACUCGCCAACAAUUAGGCAAAAAGACGAAAAAUAGGUCAAAACCCGCAUCGGCCGUCCGAAUGACACACAAACACACACAUAGCACCGCGUAAGUAAUAGACACGCGUUAGAAGUUACGGGACUCGAUUCCGACAUACGAAGACUGAGUUAUCGCCCAGUUUGCAAUACUCGCCAACACUUAGGCAAAAAGACGAAAAUAGGUCAAAACCCGCAUCGGUCGUCCGAAUGACACGCAAUCACACACAUAGCAUCGCGUAGGUAAUAGACACGCGUUAGAACUUACGGGACUCGAUUCCGACAUACGGAGACCGAGUUAUCGCGGAGUUUGCAAAACUCGCCAACACUUAGGCAAAAAGCCGAAAAAGAGGUCAAAACCCUCAUCUGCCGUUCUUAUGACACGCAAACACACAUAUAGCAUCGUGUAGGUAAUAGACACGCCUUAGAACUUACGGGACUCGAUUCCGACAUACGGAGACUUAGUUAUCGCCCAGUUUGCAAAACUCGCCAACACUUAGGCAAAAAGUCAAAAAAGGGGUAAAAACUCGCAUCGGUAGUACGAAUGACACGCAAACACACUAAUAGCACCGCGUAGGUAAUAGACACGAGUUAGAACUUACGGGACUCGAUUCCGACAUACGGAGACCAAGUUAUCGCGGGGUUUGCAAAACUCGCCAACACUUAGGCAAAAAGUCGAAAAAGAGGUCAAAACCCGCAUCUGCCGUCCGAAUGACACGCAAACACACAUAUAGCACUGUUUAGGUAAUAGACACGCGUUAGAACUUACGGGACUCGAUUUUGACGUACGGAGACCGAGUUAUUGCCCAGUUUGCAAAACUCGCCAACCCUUAGGCAAAAAGCUGAAAAAGAGUUCAAAACUCGCAUCGGCCGUCCGAAUGACAUACAAAUACACACAUAGAAACGCGUGGGUAAUUGACACGCAUUAGAACUUACGGGACUCGAUUCCGACAUACGGAGACCGAGUUAUCGUCCAAUUUGCAAAACUCGCCAAUACUUAGGCAAAAAGCUGAAAAAGAGGUCAAAAACCCGCAUCGGCCAUUCGAAUGACACGCAUACACACACAUAACACCGCGUAGGUAAUAGACAUGCAUUAGAACUUACGGGACUCGAUUCCGACAUACGGAGACCGAGUUAUCGCGGAGUUUGCAAAACUCGCCAACACUUGGGCAAAAAGCCGAAAAGAGGUCAAAACCCGCAUCGGCCGUUCGAAUGACACGCAAACACACUAAUAGCACCGCGUAGGUAAUAGACACGCGUUAGAACUUACGGGACUCGAUUCCGACAUACGGAGACCGAGUUAUCGCGGAGUUUGCAAAACUCGCCAACACUUGGGCAAAAAGCCGAAAAGAGGUCAAAACCCGCAUCUGCCGUCCGAAUGAUACGAAUACACACAUAUAGCACCGUGCUGGUAAUAGACACGCGUUAGAACUUACGGGACUCGAUUCUGACAUACGGGGUCCGAGUUAUUGCCCAGUUUGCAAAACUCGCCAACACUUAGGCAAAAAGCCAAAAAAGAGGUCAAAACUCGUAUCGGCCGUCCGAAUGACAUGCAAACACAAACAUAGAACCGCGUAGGUAAUAGACACGCAUUAGAACUUACGGGACUCGAUUCCGACAUACGGAGACUGAGUUAUCGCCCAGUUUGCAAAACUCGCCAACACUUAGGCAAAAAGACGAAAAACAGGUCAAAACCCGCAUCGGCCGUUUGAAUGACACGCAAACACACACAUAGCACCGCCUAGGUAAUAGACACGCGUUAGAACUUACGGGACUCGAUUCCGACAUAAGGAGACCGAGUUAUCGCCCAGUUUGCAAAACUCGCCAACACUUAGGCAAAAAGCCAAAAAAGAGGUCAAAACCCGCAUCGGUCGUCUGAAUGACACAAAAAUACACACAUAGCACCGCGUAGGUACUAGACUCGCGUUAGAACUUGCGGGACUCGAUUCAGACAUACGGAGACUGAGUUAUCGCCCAGUUUGAAAAACUCGUCAUCACUUAGGCAAAAAGUCGAAAAAGAAAUCAAAACCCGUAUCGGCCGUCCGAAUGAGACACAAACACACACAUAGCACCACAUAGGUAAUAGACAUGCCUUAGAACUUACGGGACUCGAUUCUGACAUACGGAGACUGAGUUAUCGCCCAGUUUGCAAAACUCGCCAAGACUUACGCAAAAAGCCGAAAAAGAGGUCAAAACCCGCAUCGGCCGUCUGAAUGACACACAAAUACACACAUAGCACCGCGUAGGUACUAGACACGCGUUAGAACUUACGGGACUCAAUUCAGACAUACGGAGACUGAGUUAUCGCCCAGUUUGAAAAACUCGUCAUCACUUAGGCAAAAAGUUGAAAAAGAAAUCAAAACCCGUAUCGGCCGUCCGAAUGAGACGCAAACACACACAUAGCACCACAUAGGUAAUAGACAUGCCUUAGAACUUACGGGACUCGAUUCAGACAUACGGAGACUGAGUUAUCGCCCAGUUUGAAAAACUCGUCAUCACUUAGGCAAAAAGUCGAAAAAGAAAUCAAAACCCGUAUCGGCCGUCCGAAUGACACACAAACACACACAUAAUACCGCGUAGGUAAUAGACACACGUUAGAAUUUACGGGACUCGAUUCCGACAUACGGAGACCGAGUUAUUGUCCAGUUUACAAAACACGCCAACACUUGGGCAAAAAGCCAAAAAAGAGGUCAAAACCCGGAUCGACCAUCCGAAUGACAUGCAAACACACACAUAGAACCGCGUAGGUAAUUGACAUGCAUUAGAACUUACGGUACUCAAUUUUGACAUACGGAGACCGAGUUAUCGCCCAAUUUGUAAAACUCGCCAACACUUGGGAAAAAAGCUGAAAAAGAGAUCAAAAACCCGCAUCGGCCGUUCGAAUGACACACAAACACACACAUAACACCGCGUAGGUAAUAGACAUGCAUUAGAACUCACGGGACUCGAUUCCGACAUACGGAGACUGAGUUAUCGCCCAGUUUGAAAAACUCGCCAACACUUAGGCAAAAAGUCGAAAAAGGGGUCAAAACUAGCAUCGGUCGUCCGAAUGACACGCAAACACACUAAUAGCAUCGCGUAGGUAAUAGACACGCGUUAGAACUUACGGGAUUCGAUUCCGACAUACGGAGACCGAGUUAUCGCGGAGUUUGCAAAACUCGCCAACACUUGGGCAAAAAGUCGAAAAAGAGGUCAAAACCCGCAUCUGCCGUCCGAAUGACACGAAUACACACAUAUAGCACCGUGCAGGUAAUAGACACGCGUUAGAACUUACGGGACUCGAUUCUGACAUACGGAGACCGAGUUAUCGCCCAGUUUGCAAAACUCGCCAAGACUUAGGCAAAAAGUUGAAAAAGAGGUCAAAACUCGCAUCGGCCGUCCGAAUGACACGCAAACACACACAUAGAACCGCGUGGGUAAUAGACACGCAUUAGAACUUACGGUACUCGAUUCCGACAUACGGAGACCGAGUUAUCGCCCAAUUUGUAAAACCGGCCAACACUUAGGCAAAAAGCUGAAAAAGAGGUCAAAGACCCGCAUCGGCCGUUCGAAUGACACGGAAACACACACAUAACACCGCGUAGGUAAUAGACAUGCAUUAGAACUUACGGGACUCGAUUCCGACAUACGGAGACUGAGUUAUUGCCUAGUUUGCAAAACUCGCCAACACUUAGGCAAAAAGUUAAAAAAGGGGUCAAAACUCGCAUCGGUAGUCCGAAUGACACGCAAACACACUAAUAGCACCGCGUAGGUAAUAGAAAUGCGUUAGAACUUACGGGACUCGAUUCCGACAUACGGAGACCGAGUCAUCGCGGAGUUUAAAAAACUCGCCAACACUUGGGCAAAAAGCCGAAAAAGAGGUCAAAACCCGCAUCUGCCGUCCGAAUGACACGAAUACACACAUAUAGCACCGCGUUGGUAAUAGACACGCGUUAGAACUUACGGGAUUCGAUUCUGACAUACGGAGACCGAGUUAUUGCCCAGUUUGCAAAACUCGCCAACACUUAGGUAAAAAGCCGAAAAAGAGGUCAAAACUCACAUCGGCCGUCCGAAUGACAUGCAAACACACACAUAGAACCGCGUGGGUAAUAGACACGCAUUAGAACUUACGGGACUCGAUUCCGACAUACGGAGACCAAGUUAUCGCCCAAUUUGUGAAACUCGCCAACACUUAGGCAAAAAGCUGAAAAGAGGUCAAAAACCCGCAUCGGCCGUUCGAAUGACACGCAAACACACACAUAACACCGCGUAGGUAAUAGACAUGCAUUAGAACUUACGGGACUCGAUUCCGACAUACGGAGACUGAGUUAUCGCCCAGUUUGCAAAACUCGCCAACACUUAGGCGAAAAGUCAAAAAAAGGGUCAAAACUCGCAUCGGUAGUCCGAAUGACACGCAAACACACUAAUAGCACCGCGUAGGUAAUAGACACGCGUUAGAACUUACGGGACUCGAUUCCGACAUACGGAGACCGAGUUAUCGCGGAUUUUGCAAAACUCGCCAACACUCGGGCAAAAAGCCGAAAAAGAGGUCAAAACCCGCAUCUGCCGUCCGAAUGACACGAAUACAGACAUAUAGCACCGUGCAGGUAAUAGACAUGCGUUAGAACUUACGGGACUCGAUUCUGACAUACGAAGACCGAGUUAUUGCCCAGUUUGCAAAACUCCCCAAUACUUAGGCAAAAAGACGAAAAAGAGGUCAAAACUUGCAUCGGCCAUCCGAAUGACAUGCAAACACACACAUAGAACUGCGUGGGUAAUAGACACGCAUUAGAACUUACGGGACUCGAUUCCGACAUACGGAGACCGAGUUAUCGCCUAGUUUGCAAAACUCGCCAACACUUAGGAAAAAAGACAAAAAAUAGGUCAAAACCUGCAUCGGUCGUCUGAAUGACACGCAAACACACACAUAACACCGCGUAGGUAAUAGUCAUGCAUUAGAACUUACGGGACUCGAUUCCGACAUACGGAGACUGAUUUAUCGCCCAGUUUGAAAAACUUGCCAACACUUAGGCAAAAAGACGAAAAAUAGGUCAAAACCCGCAUCGGCCGUCCGAAUGACACGCAAACACACACAUAGCACCGCGUAGGUAAUUGACACGCAUAAGAACUUACGGGAUUCGAUUCCGACAUACGGAGACUGAGUUAUCGCCAAGUUUGCAAAACUCGCAAACACUUAGGCAAAAAGCAAAAAAAGAGGUCAAAACUCGCAUCGGCCAUCCGAAUGACAUGCAAACACACACAUAGAACCGCGUAGGUAAUUGACACGCAUUAGAACUAAUGGGACUCGAUUCCGACAUACGAAGACUGAGUUAUCGCCCAGUUUGCAAAACUCGCCAAGACUUAGGCAAGAAGCCAAAAAAGAGGUCAAAACCCGCAUCGGCCGUCCGAAUGACACGCAAACACAUACAUAGCACCGCGUAGGUAAUUGACACGCAUUAGAACUAAUGGGACUCGAUUCCGACAUACGAAGACUGAGUUAUCGCCCAGUUUGCAAAACUCGCCAAGACUUAGGCAAGAAGCCAAAAAAGAGGUCAAAACCCGCAUCGGCCGUCCGAAUGACACGCAAACACAUACAUAGCACCGCGUAGGUAAUUGACACGCAUUAGAACUAAUGGGACUCGAUUCCGACAUACGAAGACUGAGUUAUCGCCCAGUUUGCAAAACUCGCCAAGACUUAGGCAAGAAGCCAAAAAAGAGGUCAAAACCCGCAUCGGCCGUCCGAAUGACACGCAAACACAUACAUAGCACCGCGUAGGUAAUUGACACGCAUUAGAACUAAUGGGACUCGAUUCCGACAUACGAAGACUGAGUUAUCGCCCAGUUUGCAAAACUCGCCAAGACUUAGGCAAGAAGCCAAAAAAGAGGUCAAAACCCGCAUCGGCCGUCCGAAUGACACACAAACACACACAUAGCACCGCGUAGGUAAUAGACACGCGUUAGAACUUACGGGACUCGAUUUCGACAUACGAAGACUGAGUUAUCGCCCAAUUUGCAAAACUCGCCAACACUUAAGCAAAAAGUUAAAAAAGGGGUCAAAACUCGCAUCGGUCGUCCGAAUGACACACCAACACACUAAUAGAACCGCGUAGGUAAUAGACACGCGUUAGAACUUACGGGACUUGAUUCCGACAUACGGAGACUGAGUUAUCGCCCAGUUUGCAAAACUCGCCAACACUUGGGCAAAAAGACGAAAAAGAGGUCAAAACCCGCAUCGGCUGUCCGAAUGACACACAAACACUCACAUAGCACCGCGUAGGUAAUAGACACGCGAUAGAACUUACGGGACUCGAUUCCGACAUACGAAGACUGAGUUAUCGCCCAGUUUGCAAAACUCGCCAACACUUAGGCAGAAAGCCUAAAAAGAGGUCAAAACCCGCAUCUGCCGUCCGAAUGACACACAAACACACACAUAUAGCACCGUGUAGGUAAUAGACACGCCUUAGAACUUAAAGGACUCGAUUCUGACGUACGGAGACCGAGUUAUUGCCCAGUUUGCAAAACUCGCCAACACUUAGGCAAAAAGUCGAAAAGAGGUCAAAACCCGCAUCGGCCGUCCGAAUGACACGCAAACACACUAAUAGCACCGCGUAGGUAAGAGACACGCGUUAGAACUUAUGGGACUCGAUUUUGACAUAUGGAGACCGAGUUAUCGCCCAAUUUGCAAAACUCGCCAACACUUAGGCAGAAAGCCUAAAAGAGGUCAAAACCCGCAUCGGCCGUCCGAAUGACACGCAAACACACUAAUAGCACCGCGUAGGUAAGAGACACGCGUUAGAACUUAUGGGACUCGAUUUUGACAUAUGGAGACCGAGUUAUCGCCCAAUUUGCAAAACUCGCCAACACUUAGGCAGAAAGCCUAAAAGAGGUCAAAACCCGCAUCGGCCGUCCGAAUGACACGCAAACACACUAAUAGCACCGCGUAGGUAAGAGACACGCGUUAGAACUUAUGGGACUCGAUUUUGACAUAUGGAGACCGAGUUAUCGCCCAAUUUGCAAAACUCGCCAACACUUAGGCAGAAAGCCUAAAAGAGGUCAAAACCCGCAUCGGCCGUCCGAAUGACACGCAAACACACUAAUAGCACCGCGUAGGUAAGAGACACGCGUUAGAACUUAUGGGACUCGAUUUUGACAUAUGGAGACCGAGUUAUCGCCCAAUUUGCAAAACUCGCCAACACUUAGGCAGAAAGCCUAAAAGAGGUCAAAACCCGCAUCGGCCGUCCGAAUGACACGCAAACACACUAAUAGCACCGCGUAGGUAAGAGACACGCGUUAGAACUUAUGGGACUCGAUUUUGACAUAUGGAGACCGAGUUAUCGCCCAAUUUGCAAAACUCGCCAACACUUAGGCAGAAAGCCUAAAAGAGGUCAAAACCCGCAUCGGCCGUCCGAAUGACACGCAAACACACUAAUAGCACCGCGUAGGUAAGAGACACGCGUUAGAACUUAUGGGACUCGAUUUUGACAUAUGGAGACCGAGUUAUCGCCCAAUUUGCAAAACUCGCCAACACUUAGGCAGAAAGCCUAAAAGAGGUCAAAACCCGCAUCGGCCGUCCGAAUGACACGCAAACACACUAAUAGCACCGCGUAGGUAAGAGACACGCGUUAGAACUUAUGGGACUCGAUUUUGACAUAUGGAGACCGAGUUAUCGCCCAAUUUGCAAAACUCGCCAACACUUAGGCAGAAAGCCUAAAAGAGGUCAAAACCCGCAUCGGCCGUCCGAAUGACACGCAAACACACUAAUAGCACCGCGUAGGUAAGAGACACGCGUUAGAACUUAUGGGACUCGAUUUUGACAUAUGGAGACCGAGUUAUCGCCCAAUUUGCAAAACUCGCCAACACUUAGGCAGAAAGCCUAAAAGAGGUCAAAACCCGCAUCGGCCGUCCGAAUGACACGCAAACACACUAAUAGCACCGCGUAGGUAAGAGACACGCGUUAGAACUUAUGGGACUCGAUUUUGACAUAUGGAGACCGAGUUAUCGCCCAAUUUGCAAAACUCGCCAACACUUAGGCAGAAAGCCUAAAAGAGGUCAAAACCCGCAUCGGCCGUCCGAAUGACACGCAAACACACUAAUAGCACCGCGUAGGUAAGAGACACGCGUUAGAACUUAUGGGACUCGAUUUUGACAUAUGGAGACCGAGUUAUCGCCCAAUUUGCAAAACUCGCCAACACUUAGGCAGAAAGCCUAAAAGAGGUCAAAACCCGCAUCGGCCGUCCGAAUGACACGCAAACACACUAAUAGCACCGCGUAGGUAAGAGACACGCGUUAGAACUUAUGGGACUCGAUUUUGACAUAUGGAGACCGAGUUAUCGCCCAAUUUGCAAAACUCGCCAACACUUAGGCAAAAAGUCGAAAAAGGGGUCAAAACUCGCAUCGGACUCGAUUCCGACAUACCGAAACUGAGUUAUCGCCCAGUUUGCAAAACUCGCCAACACUUAGGCAAAAAGACAAAAAAUAGGUCAAAACCCGCAUCGGCUGUCUGAAUGACACACAAACACACACAUAGCACCGCGUAGGUAAUAGACACGCGUUAGAACUUACGGGACUCGAUUCCGACAUACGGAGACUGAGUUAUCGCCCAGUUUGCAAAACUCGCCAACACUUAGGCAAAAAGACGAAAAAGGGGUCAAAACUCGCAUCGGUUGUCCGAAUGACACGCCAACACACUAAUAGCACCGCGUAGGUAAUAUACACGCAUUAGAACUUACGGGACUCGAUUCCGACAUACGGAGACCGAGUUAUCGCCGAGUUUGCAAAACUCGCCAACACUUAGGCAAAAAGCCAAAAAAGAGGUCAAAACCCGCAUCUGCCGUCCCAAUGACACGCAAACACACAUAUAGCACCGUGUAGGUAAUAGACACGCGUUAGAACUUACGGGACUCGAUUCAGACAUACGGGGACUAAGUUAUCGCCCAGUUUGAAAAACUCGCCAACAUUUAGGCAAAAAGUCGAAAAAGGGGUCAAAACUCGCAUCGUUCGUCCGAAUGACACGCAAACACACUAAUAGCACCGCGUAGGUAAUAGACACACGUUAGAACUUACGGGACUCGAUUCCGACAUACAAAGACUGAGUUAUCGCGGAGUUUGCAAAACUCGCCAACACUUGGGCAAAAAGACGAAAAAGAGGUCAAAACCCGCAUCUGCCGUCGAAUGACACGAAUACACACAUAUAGCACCGUGCAGGUAAUAGACACGCAUUAGAACUUACGGGACUCGAUUCUGACAUACGGAGACCGAGUUAUUGCCCAGUUUGCAAAACUCGCCAACACUUAGGCAAAUAGCCGAAAAAGAGGUCAAAACUCACAUCGGGCAUCCGAAUGACAUACAAACACACACAUAGAACUGCGUAGGUAAUAGACACGCAUUAGAACUUACGGGACUCGAUUCCGACAUACGGAGACCGAGUUAUCGCGGAGUUUGCAAAACUCACCAACACUUAGGCAAAAAGCCGAAAAAGAGGUCAAAACCCGCAUCGGCCGUCCGAAUGACACGCAAACACACUAAUAGCACCGCGUAGGUAAUAGACACGCGUUAGAACUUAGUUAUUGCCCAGUUUGCAAAACUCGCCAACACUUAAGCAAAAAGUCGAAAAAGGGGUCAAAACGCGCAUCGGUCGUCCGAAUGACAUGCCAACACACUAAUAGCACCGCUUAGGGAAUAGACACGUGUUAGAACUUAUGGGACUCGAUUUUGACAUACGGAGACCGAGUUAUCGCGGAGUUUGCAAAACUCACCAACACUUAGGCAAAAAGCCGAAAAAGAGGUCAAAACCCGCAUCGGCCGUCCGAAUGACACGCAAACACACUAAUAGCACCGCGUAGGUAAUAGACACGCGUUAGAACUUAGUUAUUGCCCAGUUUGCAAAACUCGCCAACACUUAAGCAAAAAGUCGAAAAAGGGGUCAAAACGCGCAUCGGUCGUCCGAAUGACAUGCCAACACACUAAUAGCACCGCUUAGGGAAUAGACACGUGUUAGAACUUAUGGGACUCGAUUUUGACAUACGGAGACCGAGUUAUCGCGGAGUUUGCAAAACUCACCAACACUUAGGCAAAAAGCCGAAAAAGAGGUCAAAACCCGCAUCGGCCGUCCGAAUGACACGCAAACACACACAUAGCAUCGCGUAGGUAAUAGACACGCGUUAGAACUUACGGGACUUGAUUCCGACAUACGGAGACCGAGUUAUCGCGGAGUUUGCAAAACUCACCAACACUUAGGCAAAAAGCCGAAAAAGAGGUCAAAACCCGCAUCUGCCGUCCGAAUGACACACAAACACACAUAUAGCACCGUGUAGGUAAUAGACACGCCUUAGAACUUACGGGACUCGAUUCUGACGUACGGAGACCGAGUUAUUGCCCAGUUUGCAAAACUCGCCAAUACUUAGGCAAAAAGUCGAAAAAGGGGUCAAAACGCGCAUCGGUCGUCCGAAUGACAUGCCAACACACUAAUAGCACCGCUUAGGUAAUAGACACGUGUUAGAACUUAUGGGACUCGAUUUUGACAUAUGGAGACCGAGUUAUCGCCCAAUUUGCAAAACUCGCCAACAAUUAGGCAAAAUCCUGAAAAAGAGGUCAAAAACCCGCAUCGGCCGAUCGAAUGACACACAAACACACACAUAACACCGCGUAGGUAAUAGACAUGCAUUAGAACUUACGGGACUCGAUUCCGACAUACAGAGACUGAGUUAUCGCCCAGUUUGCAAAACUCGCCAACACUUAGGCAAAAAGUCAAAAAAGGGGUAAAAACCCGCAUCGUCCGUCUGAAUGACACGCAAACACACUAAUAGCACAGCGUAGGUAAUAGACACGCGUUAGAACUUACGGGAUUCGAUUCCGACAUACGGAGACCGAGUUAUCGCGGAGUUUGCAAAACUCGCCAACACUUAGGCAAAAAGCCGAAAAAGAGGUCAAAACCCGAAUCUGCCGUCCGAAUGACACGCAAACACACAUAUAGCACCGUGUAGGUAAUAGACACGCGUUAGAACUUACGGGACUCGAUUCUGACGUACGGAGACUGAGUUAUUGCCCAGUUUACAAAACUCGCCAAUAUUUAGGCAAAAAGCCAAGAAAGAGGUCAAAACUCGCAUCGGCCGUCCGAAUGACAUGCAAACACACACAUAGAACCGCGUGGGUAAUAGACACGCAUUAGAACUUACGGGACUCGAUUCCGACAUACGGAGACCGAGUUAUCGCCCAAUUUGCAAAACUCGCCAACACUUAGGCAAAAAGCCGAAAAAGGGGUCAAAACUCGCAUCGGUAGUUCGAAUGACACGCAAACACACUAAUAGCACCACGUAGGUAAUAGACACGCGUUAGAACUUACGGGACUCGAUUCCGACAUACGGAGACCGAGUUAUCGCGGAGUUUGGAAAAUACGCCAACACUUGGGCAAAAAGCCGAAAAAGUGGUCAAAACCCGCAUCUGCCGUCCGAAUGACACGAAUACAAACAUAUAGCACCGUGCAGGGAAUAGACACGCGUUAGAACUUACGGGACUCGAUUCUGACAUACGGAGUCCGAGUUAUUGCCCAGUUUGCAAAACUCGCCAACACUUAGGCAAAAAGUCGAAAAGAGGUCAAAACUCGCAUCGGUCGUCCGAAUGACAUGCAAACACACACAUAGAACCGCGUAGGUAAUAGACACGCGUUAGAACUUACGGGAUUCGAUUCCGACAUAAGGAGACCGAGUUAUCACCCAGUUUGCAAAACUCGCUAACACUUAGGCAAAAAGCCGAAAAAGAGGUCAAAACCCGCAUCGGUCGUCUGAAUGACACGCAAACACACCAAUCGCACCGCGUAGGUAAUAGACAUGCAUUAGAACUUACGGGACUCGAUUCUGACAUACGGAGACCGAGUUAUCGCGGAGUUUGCAAAACUCGCCAACACUUAGGCAAAUAGUCGAAAAAGAGGUCAAAACCCGCAUCGGUCGUCUGAAUGACACGCAAACACACCAAUCGCACCGCGUAGGUAAUAGACAUGCAUUAGAACUUACGGGACUCGAUUCUGACAUACGGAGACCGAGUUAUCGCGGAGUUUGCAAAACUCGCCAACACUUAGGCAAAUAGUCGAAAAAGAGGUCAAAACCCGCAUCGGUCGUCUGAAUGACACGCAAACACACCAAUCGCACCGCGUAGGUAAUAGACAUGCAUUAGAACUUACGGGACUCGAUUCUGACAUACGGAGACCGAGUUAUCGCGGAGUUUGCAAAACUCGCCAACACUUAGGCAAAAAGACGAAAAAUAGGUCAAAACCCGCAUCGGUCGUCUGAAUGACACGCAAACACACACAUAACACCGCGUAGUUAAUAGUCAUGCAUUAGAACUUACGGGACUCCAUUCCGACAUACGGAAACUGAGUUAUCGCCCAGUUUGCAAAACUCGCCAACACUUAGGCAAAUAGACGAAAAAUAGGUCAAAACCCGCAUCGGCCGUCUGAAUGACACGCAAACACACACAUAGCACCGCGUAGGUAAUAGACACGCGUUAGAACUUACGGGACUCGAUUCUGAUAUACGGAGACUGGGUUAUCGCCCAGUUUGCAAAACUCGUCAACACUUAGGCAAAAAGUCGAAAAAGGGGUCAAAACUCGCAUCGGUCGUCCGAAUGACACGCCAACACACUAAUAG
This 52572-nucleotide long non-coding RNA is filed under the name Panax ginseng (ginseng). Its description in RNAcentral is "long non-coding RNA (PGIN_LNC017425)". Lineage: Eukaryota; Viridiplantae; Streptophyta; Magnoliopsida; Apiales; Araliaceae. The record is from RNAcentral.